CGGAUCUCUCUCUCCCCUGUAGAGAAAAGAAGUUGGUGUGGCGUGGCCUAGCUUAAGAAAUAAGCGGAGGCUUUUGUGGCAAGCGAUAAAAAAAAGUUGGCACCAGGGAAGGUGCGCAAGACUUUUUAACAAUUUUCCAAAUUUUAAAAAGACUCAUCGGGAGAUAAUAAAGACCACCAACAAAAAAAAUCCAUUUUCUUUUCCCCUUAAUAAAAGCAUCCAAACCCUAAACUGCCAAGAAAUCUUCAAUCAUGCCUGUAACAUUUUUAGGUUUGAACGAAAAAAAAAGUAUAUUAUUUAGGAACUUAAUAGAACGAUCAAUUCUAAGAAAAUUUAUGGGCCAAUUAUAAUGUAUAAAAACUUGUUUUCAAAUUUUAAAAAUAGAAAUCUGGAAAAAAAAAAUUGGUCGGCUCACUCAAAAGUAGAAUUUAUUUGUCUAAUGCCCACCUAGCGUUGUGCAUAAGCAAAGUAGAUACCCGUGAAUGUGCGCAAGACUGUCGACCGAAAAAAACAUAAAGGUGCGCCGGACUUUUUUGACAAGUUUCGAAUUUUUUAAAAGACUCAUUGGGAGACCAUAAAGGCCACCAAUAAAAAAUUCCUCUUUAUUUUCUCCUUAACAAAAGCAUCUAAUCCCUAUAACUGCCGAGAAAUCUUCCAUCAUGCCGUAACUUUUUUUUUUGUUGGUGCAAUUAGGUUCCUAAAUAAUAUACCUUUUUUGGAUCAAUUUUUAAAGAAAUUAUGGGGCAAUUGUAAUGAAUAAGAAAUUGUUUUCAAAUUAAAAAAAAUAGAAAUCUGGAAAAAAAGUAAUCUUAAAAUUUGUUUAUAAACGUUUUUUCUUUCAGAAAUACACUUCAAAGUAAAAACGCGCCUAUAUUUUAGCCCUUAAAGCCGCUUACAAAUUGCAUAUAUAUAUAUAUAUUUGGAUGUUGAAUUAUUUGAAAAAAAAUUGGGCCAAAUUACCUGCGGCCAACUUUGAGCCCAACCUCGGAGCCUACUUCCAGCGUCGCCGCCGGCUGAGUUGUCCGCGACGCAUCUACGCUGACACCACUGCGUGUCCAGGCCGAGCCACGCCUCCGUGUCCAAGAGGAACGCUCAGAUCUGUGGACGAGAAGAAAAGAAACGAGCUGUCACCACAAGUGACGAGCCGUUCAUAGAUCUGAGCGCUCGGAUCGUCGCUAGGAAAGACGGCCGCGGUUUAUUAUUCACGCCGACAAUAGGGGUGGGCGUGGAGGUUGGCGCUCAGAUCUCAAAUUGAAAUAUUUGUGAUAAAUUUAUUUUUUGUUAUUUUUCGUUAAAUUAGAUUAGUUCUGCAAAAAAUCACAAACCAAAUGGAGGAUAAAACUCUAAAUCGGUAUACCUAUCAAUUAUCAUGUGUCAUCCAACUCAUCAAUUUGAUAGUGAAAUUUAAUGUAAACUAAAAAAGUUUUAAUUUGUCAUGGGUGUAACGGUUUAUGAUUUUUUGUGGUAUUAACCCUAAUCUUUAAUGAAUGAGUUUGUUCUCAUAAUAUGGAAUCAAUGGAUUAUGAUAUAGGAUUACCAGUUUAGGAUUUCUUAUGCUCAUUUACCUUUAUAUGUGUUCUUUUAUGUUGUGUUUGGACUCUUCGAGCACUAACUAAUUUUCAUCGGGUUGAUUUAUUCCUUUGCAUGUUUAAGAAAAUGUGAACCAUCGCCUUGUUGGUCGCGAUGGUUUGGGCUUUCUUCUCCUCACGAAGGGGAGGAGUUCGACUCCUCUCACAGUUGCUUGGGAUCUUAAGUGGAACGCUGGGGGUGGUGGGUCCUCCCGCUUACGUGUCCCCCCAGAUUUACUCAUCGGCUGCCGACUGUACGGGGUUCCUGGGUCACAAAAAAAAAAAAAUGUGAAAGACCGUAUUUCUUUUUUCUUUUUUUUUUUGGGGGCAGAAUAAAGGAGUUUAUUUGAUCAUGUUUAAUACCAACUAGGCAACUACCUAUAAAAAUGAAUGCGUUGUGAACAUUUUCAGCAUUUUCCGAUUUACACUUACUUAUGUAGAUGCCAUAAUCACAAGGGUUAAUGUCUCAAAUCAAUUACCCCUUUUCAGUCAUAAUAGAGUUAUCCAAAUUGGUUUCUUUGAGAGAUCAGAUAGAAAGAAAGUUCGAGGAUUGAAGUCGAUAAAGCAAAAAGAGACAAGUCGUGUUUUGGUUACUCGAGUUGGAACUUUUCAUCAUCAUAUUAGAUCUUUUUAUCAAAAUUCUAGUUGACUUAUUCUAUAUUACCGUGAGCUUAAGAAGAUGUUAGAAAUAAAUAGGAGAUUCUUUAUAUCUUCUUUAAUGGUGCAUAUCUAUAAUAGAUUGUAAUUGAUAUUGUGACAUCCCAGAUGAUCAAUUGUGAUAGACACAGAAAUUUGUAAUUAUCUUUUGUUCUUAUUUGAGUAUAUGAAAUUUAGAAUAACUCGCAUUGUACUUCUUGAAAAUCGAUGUUUCCAAAGCACACAUAACAUAGUCGAAAACCACUAUUGGAUACCAACUGAAUAAAACAUAUGUAUUGUAUUAUGAGAUCUCGAAAAAUAGGAUAUAGUUAUUUUGACAUACAAUAUUGCUCAAGAUAAUAUCAUGACUUAUUCUGUUUUACACGAGCACAAUGUUGCCUCUUUGGAGUUAAAUCGAGAGUGAUUUAUAAAAGUGUGUUCGAUCAAGUCAUUCAAUUUCAAAAUUGUAUACUUUUUGUAUAAUUGGCACUUCUAUUAAAAUUAUAAACGGAGAUGUUGACGUGGCUAUUUAAUGCGAAUGUCCCACCUUAUGGGACAAUUACAACAUAAAAAGUUAUUUUCAAUAUCUAACAAAAAUAUAAAUUUGGGAAAAAAAAUCAAGAGGAGUAAAGGAAGAAGGAUAGUGCAGUCAGGCGUGUAUAUAUUAGAGUAAUCAUUUAGUCAUAUUAUUAUAAAAUCUGAAAAAGUUGACUCUUCUGACACUUCUUAAGUAUAACAUUAUAACAUAAAAGUUUGGCUUAUAAGACAAUUUUAGAACAAGAAACUUAGAUGCUGUUUCAUAACGUUCUGGGCAACAUCUGUUUUUAUUUUUUUGCUCAUCAGGUAAUUUUUUUUUCCCAAAAACAAAAAACAAAAAAGAAAGUUAUUUUUUGUUCCUAGGAGCAACUCAAGAGAUAAGCUUUUGUUCUUUUCUUUUUGUCCUUUUUCUCUUCCUCUCUUCUUCCCUAGCCGAUCACUGACCCGGCGAUGGCCGGCGAUUGGCUAGACAAGGCCUGGCAAGGUUGCCUUGAGGUUGCCCGAACUCCCCAGCUAUUGGUGAGGUCGCCUCGAGCUCGCUGGCCAUCGGCAAGGCUUGAGAAGGGGGGGCCUCGCCUAGCCACAAUAAGGCCAAGCCUCGCUUUGCCAUAGCGAGGCUCGGCCUCGCCAAAUCUGGGUGAGGUCACCUCGCCCAACCAUGGCGAGGCUCAGGGGGACCUUGCCGGUGGUUGGCAAGGCUCCCUCAAGGCCAACGACCUUGCCAACCCUUGUUUGGUCGGUCGUCGGCCGGUCAUAGCCAAGGCUGGUGACUGACUAAGAGGAAGGAGAAGAAAAAGAAAAAAAGAAAAGAAAAAUGUAAUAAAAUUAUUAAUAUAUUAAAAGAAAUUAUAAGUAACAAAAUAUUUGGGGUUAUAUCAAAUGAGUUUCUCUUCUCGGAAUAUGAAUUUUUUAUGGUUACCAAAUGUCUUAAAAUGCUCAUAAAUUGUUCUCCAAAAUAGAAAUUAAAAAAAAAUGUUUCUGAAAAAAAAAAUUGUUUCAAGAAUAGAAACUUCAUCAUACGCACCCUUAAUAGCGGCGCAUGCUAAUAACAACAACAACAUAAGUAGCAGCGCAUGAUAAUAAUAACAACGACAACAACGUAUAAAGUGGACCAAUUUUUUGUGUUGCUCUCUGAGUCUUUUUGUUUGUCCACCGGAAGAUUAAAGUCCACCUCCAAAAUCAAAUUUGGAGAGAGAGAGAGAGAGAGAGGGGAUAUUAUUAUAUGUUACUUUAGUGGAAUGGGGAAUUAUUGUACUAGCUGAUGGAUGUUUAAUCGAGGAUCGAUUAUUUGAGGAUCGAUUAUUUAAGGCGUUGUUGUCUUGGACCAUCAUGAAUGUCGUCUAUCUACUUUAGAAUCUUUUCUGGUCAUAAUGGUCCGACAUGCCAACUUCUUCUUCUUGGUCGACAACAUGCCAACUCAUGCACCAAUAAUUUUUUUUUUUUUAAAUUUUAAGUUCACGUGUCGCAUGCCAUAGUGGACUAUACAUGUACGAUUAUAUAUAUUUUAGUAUUGUUUGUUCCUGUGUUUUGGUGUUAACCACUUAAUGAAGACCGAAGAUUACUUUUAAAUAAAGUGUCCUAAACUUUUCAACAAAUUCAAUUUUUAAGGCUCCCGGGAAGAACAUAAAGGCAAAUAUGCUGCCAUUAAGAUAAAUUUUUAAUUAUUUUCUUUUUUGGCUUGAUUAGAUAUGUGCAACUCCAUAGGUCCAGGGUUGCAUUUCCUAGAAAUGAAUGGAGGUCCUGCCUUCUAAGAAUCAUAUAAAACGUUCUAUAAACGGCUCUAUAGGUUAAUAACCUCAUAAGUAACCAUUGUUGACNNNNNNNNNNNNNNNNNNNNNNNNNNNNNNNNNNNNNNNNNNNNNNNNNNNNNNNNNNNNNNNNNNNNNNNNNNNNNNNNNNNNNNNNNNNNNNNNNNNNAAUAAGAAACUAGACAUAUCUUAUAUUGUAUUUACCCUAGUUAACAAGAGUACAUGAAGUCACACAAAUUUCGACAUUUUUUUUUGUGGUAGAUUUAACUUGUAAGAUAGUUUGAUAUAAGUUAAAGAUAUUGUUUUAUAAUAAAUUAUUUAUGUACAUGAUUAGUUGAGCCAGAUAGAAUGCAAGUUGCAAUUUAGUUCACUCCCGAGAAUGAGCUGAAAAUCCUCUCGAUAUUGACGGGCACACUACACUAGUCAUGUUAGUGUGAGAAUCUUCCUGAAAAAAAUAAGAGAAAUUUUUGUCUGGUUUGGUCUAGGGUAGAAACAUAGUUUGAACACCUCAUUGAACCUUGAUUGUGAAAGUGUGGAGUUUAUCUCUAUAAGCGCUUCAAGCAUGUUCAGCGAACCAUGCCAUCGCAUUUUUCCCUCACCCUCGUGCCCUCCGCUCUGUUCUUUCUUUCUUUCUUUCGUCUGUGAAGCGGCCUUGCUCGUGAACCCCAAUGCUGCCGACGCCGUCGCCUCUCCCAAGCCUCGCCAUGGCCUGUCAAAGCCCCAUUAGCGGCUCCGAUACGUCCCCUGCGUCCGAAGGUUAGGGUUUUCUACAGAUUCUGCUCAGUAGAGAUUAACUUCAUGUUAAUGUGAUGCUAGUGACCGUGACAGGUUCCCACCAUCACUCCCAAAGCCCGCCUACGCCGUUGCCUCCCGAAUGUCAUCGCCGCGCGAGUUCUUCAAGAGCGAAGUUGGUUCAUCAUAGGGAAUUCUUUCCCAGCUUAAUCCAAAUCAUCCCAAGACUACAAGGGCCAAGGCACAAUUUAAGCCAGGUACCACCAAUAGUACAACACAAAAAGGUGUCUUUCUAAUUUUUCUAUCAAUUUUCACCUUUAACUUGAGUUGAGUUGAGUUCGAUGGUCAUCAAUUUAAGAUUCGGCUUCAUUAAUGAAGAGAAAAGAGUUUCUUUUGGUGGUUCUGAAUUGGAUUUGUUGUGGAAUAGUUUUAGUUAGACAAGCAAUGGCUAUCGGCAGAUGAAUACAGAGCAUUACUGUUGGAGCGGGACUUUACUUCCAUGAUGAUAUGUUGAUCUUUAUAAGGAUUAUGCUUGAUAUGAAUUUUGGCUCUUUCGUCGAGCCUUGAGCUUGUGGCCCUUGAGUUGGGCGCGUAAGGUUGAGGAUGGUGCGGGUUUUCAAAGGAACAACUUUCCGUACUAUUGUAAGCAAAGAGAUCUAGGCCUUAUCACAAUUGGAUACAUCCUGGUCCUUGUCACUGUCUUGCUUCGUUUAAACUGGAAAUGGUUUGAUUCGCAACCUUGGCAGUUUGCCAACUGGACUAGGAAUACUGCUUUGAUGGUGGUGACAAUUAUAUUAAGUGGGCGCCAAUAGGAACCGGGAUAACCUCUCUGGUUUUGCCUAUAUGUGAGCUCCCUAGACAGUAUCUUUGAUUGUAUUGCUUUGGAAAGUUGCAAAUUAUACACAUCUCCAUUUUGGCAUUGCUUCAUGGUAGACUUCUCUUUCUGCAGCCUAUUACAGUCGUUCUAUUUUGUUAUGUGCAUUUUUUUUGGUGUGUAGGUGAUGGCCUCUCUAUUUUGAGAGGAGAAUUUAAGAACCAAAAGAAGUUGCUGUGGUCCACAAGCUUGGAGGAGGUAACUCUAAAUUUUUACUAUAUGGGAGCUUUGUAGCCUUUCCCCACCAUAGAUAUGAGUUUACUUUUUGAUUUGAGCAAAUUCGUCCUUUGAAUUCGCCAUGCCUUAGAGUUAUGCAGGCAUCUUCUGGGAAUUCCCUUAGCGAAACCUUUUAAAUGAUUUCCACAAUGCUUUGUUGCUAUUUAAAUGGACAUAACUUGCUAUUAGGGAUUGUUAGCCAAUUCGCUGGAACUCUACUACAAUCAUUUCCUUUUGUGAUGUGCAUUUGUUCGGUGUGUAGGUGAUGGACAUCUUAUAGGUUUUUUUAUUGGUAUUUUUAUUUUAGAUAAUUGCAAUCACUUUGGUGUUGCAAAGUGUUGUAAGAUAUAUGGUUGCAUCUCUUGCGCUCCCAUCAAAUUGAGGAAAUUGGAAAGCUACACAUAGGUAAUAAGCUGUAAGGGUAGACCUUCAAAUCAGAUAUUUAAGAAUGCCUAAAAGUGGUUUAGCAAACAGUUUUUCAAAGUACCUUUUGAAUAAAACAAUUUAACAUAUAUUGAUUUUUUUUUUCUUUUAUGAUAUUGCUAGAUGUGCAACUCAAAUGUCAAGAUGGGAUGUACCUAUGGUAGCGAAUAAUACAUCUUAAGAUAAGUGUAAUUGAAAAAUAUCAUGCAUAAUUGCACAUUCUUUUAUAAGCAAUGUGAUAUUUGUGAAUGUAUGUCAAAAGUCGCAUCCGUUUGGCUUCUAGUCAUUUUCUAUAAGGUUCACCCUUUUAAGAAUUAGCAUUGUAACUAAAGCCUUUGGAAACUGAUAUAGAUUAAUCCCAGGAUUUUUUCAUUUCCUUGUCCCAAAUAGAUUAACCAAUGACUUGAAGCAAUACUCUUUUCUCUUGAACAUAACUGGAAGAUCUUUAUAUGUACUGGCAUAAUAGCCCCCUGGACAAUCAUUUGCCUCUAGUAUGGUUUGAAGGAAGCUUUUUGGUGCAUUUGUAGGAUUUACUUACUAAUAACCUCUUUGGAUUGGGUUUGUAGUCGAAAUGCAAUAAAUAUUAAUGUAAAUAUCUGAAGUAGGGUUUGAAUAGAGUUCUUUGAUGAUGCUCACUAAUGACCUUUUUGGCUAGAAUUUUGUGAUCAUGACUUAUGAGAAUCAAUUAAUGGAACUGCUAGGAUCUAUUCCAAUUGUUAGUUGCAUAGCUACUUACCCAACAGCAGGGGAUUUGGAUGUAAAACAUGUAAUGAAUCUUGGGUCACAUACCUCAACAUAAAAGAUAUUUGACUCGUUAAAUUUGGUGUCUUGGUGUCUUGGUGAAAUAGAUGAAUUCAUGUGAUAUAAGGGGAGUGUGACUACAGUUCUAAAAAGGGACCAUGGAUUCAAGUAGAAGAUUUCAGUUACAAUAGGAUUUGAGAACUACACAAAGAUAUAAAAUGAAAAUGCAAGAAGCAUUUUUAAUGUAGAGAUUUAGGAUUUUAUUUGCCUCACUGUACAUUGAUGGUAGGAUAGUCCAUGAAUAGUUUUCUUCUCUUUAGACAGAGGGAAUCUAAUUAUUCUAAUUUUUUUCCUGAACAUUUCGAAAUUCACAUAACAUAUUUCGAGAUGUUAGUGAGGGUAAUUUCCAGCUAGUUUUACCACUUUUGCAUUUUUCCUUGCUCUUGUCAUCUUCGAACCAUGUUAAUAGUUGCAAUUUUAUGUGUCUAAGUUUUUCUAGUUUUUCUUCCACAGACAAUAUGUAUCAUAAUGUUAAUAGCAAGUUGAGGGAGUUGUUGCCUGUUGAGCUAUUCACUCUUAUUCUAAUACACAAGGUAUUGCUUUCACACCCGACCCCCCCCCCCCCCCCCCCAAAAAAAAAAAAAAACUUUACCCUCCCUCCCUCCCUCUCAUACUUUUAGCUACACUAUUCCAUCUUGCGGCUACUGGUGUUUGAGGUGGAAACAUAAGGAGUGGGCUUUAUGAGGAUUAGCUGGUCCCUUUGUGAUUACUGCUUUUGAAAUCAGAUUGAGUUACGGGUUCCUCUCCAUUUCGGUCAUCUUGCAAAACAACCCUAGAGGGUGAAUUUAAGUGCAAGAUGGUGAUGCUUUUUUUUUAGCUACUUAAAUGUUAUAGACUCUCUCUCUCUCUCUCUCUCUCGCGAACGCACGCACGCACGCACACAGGCAAGUAGGCACAGCUCCCUUAAAGGCACAAAUGAGCAAUUCUUCUGAAUUGUGAUCACUACUGGUACUUAUUAAGUGUGAAUCAGUAUGCCUUUGCAAUUUCUGUAUUUCUAUAUUCACUAAUGGUACUUAUUAAGUGUGAAUCAGUAUGCCUUUGCAAUUUCUGUAUUUCUAUAUUUUGUGGUAGUUUCACUUUUCAAUAUUACUUGGAGGAUGCCUAUUUAUUUAUAUUAGGGCUAGAAAAGUUCUACCUUGUCGCGACCAAAUUUUCAGGUGUGAACCAUGGUUCACACUAGGGUUUAGCUAAUGAAUUGUUAAACCUAGACUUAACUCGGCUCUCCCAACCCCAUACCAAUUCGCGACUUUAGGUUCAAGUUCUUAACAUGCAAUUGAUUUUUCAAUUAGGAGUCGCCACUAAUCUAUUUUUGGUGGGUCGAUUAGAAACCCAACUAAUGUAACGGGAGUUUUACUUUACUCCUACGAACCAGAGAUUUAUGAGUUCGGGGACUUUGUUACUCUAGAUUUCUCUAACGCCCUUUCGGUACCUUUCUCUUUUAUUUUUAAAAAAAUUGUUUGGCAAGCAACUUGAAUUGAUUUUAAUUCCCUAACAUGUGAGGUGACCAUGUAGGUGCGCAAACCACCAAUUUAACACUCAAGAAAGCAAAUGAAUAAGUUGCAAAACUUACCUCAAAUAUUAAAUUAAAAUCCACAUCAAUAACCAUAGAUAUGGUUUCUAAUUAACACGCAAUUUCUUUUUUUGUUUUCACUUAAUUAAUGAAAAUCAUGCAAUAUGUAAUGCAAUAUUAACUAAAUGACCUAAUUCUAAUGACACGUAAAUUCUAAUUAAAUGAGCCUAGCAACAAUUACCAAAUCUAAUUCUAUAUGACAUGCAAUGACAUUUUUUAUUUUAUUUUAUUUAAAAAAGAAUGCAAUCUAUCCUAGGAAUUGAAACUAAUUUAUCCUAUGUCAUUUUUUUUGCAUUUUUAAUGUGAAAUUUGAAAUUAGAAAAAUAUGAAAAUUAUCUAGCUAAAUUAAGAUUUUAUCCAACUUAUAUUAAGGAUUAGGUCAGACUAAACCCUAACUUAAACCGGGAUAUUAUCUUAACCUAGCAAAAAGAUGCAAUUUAUCCAAAAAUCAAUUUAAAUUUAAAAUGAGACAUGCAAUUUUAUCUAAUAUGCCAUGACGUACAAAGAAUGCCCUAAUUCUACAUGACAUAUGCAUGAUGACUUUUUCUUGUGUUUUUGUUUUAUUAAUUUCGAAAUUAAUAAUUGUCAAAUAAUUAAACAUGCAAUUCGAGUUAAAAAUCUAUCCACCUAAAUUGAUUGAUUUGAUUUUUUUGCUUUUUUAAAAUUCCUAUUCUAAAUAUGCAAACCCUAAACCUACAUUUUUUUGGAUUUUUUUUACGAAAAAAAAUUAACUUAAACGGCACGACAACAAAUCAGAGCAAGAUUGAUAUCCAAAUUGACGAACCAUAUCUCACGCAUAAGAUUGGGUUGGCCAAUUUUAAAUAAAUCGCGAAUCGAAUCCCGAGCGUGAGAUCAGAUUGGUAAUUUUUCAAGCGAUUGCGAUUGCGAGUCGGAUUUCGGGCGCGAAAAUCGGACUGUCAAUCCCAAAUUUCAGAGGCAAUUUCAUGUCGGACAAUGCCAAUCUUACAUUAAUGAAUAAUUCUACUAAAGAAGCAAAAUACAAAUAAAUUAAAUAAGAUAAAAAUAAAAUCUACCUAAUUUGAAAUCCCAACCACGAUCAACAUCGCUUCACGACCCACGACCAAGGUUGGCCAGCGGUAUACUCGCGGUCAGGAGACCCGAAGUCUGUUCUCUAUUCUUCCGCCAAAAAAUAUCUCCACACGUCUAAAUUCUUCACGAGCUCCCGGCCUAAAAUUAAUCUGCGGCAACUUCAUUCCUCUUUUCCGAAUACGUGAGAUGCCACGGUUUUGUUGCUGGACGUAGACAAAGACACCGGUAAACCUGCAAAAACAGAGAAUAGUAAUCCGCGGGGCUUGGCUCAGCAAUUUGUGGUGCUGCUGGCGUGGUCGUUGGACUCGGCAGCAAGGGCGACCGGAGUCACGGAUGAUGUAGCGGCGUCGCUCGGAGAGGGCUCAGAGCGGCGUGCAAGGGCUUCGGCAGCCGGCGGCUCGGGCAGCAACGAGUGAGCAGGAGGAAACGUCGGCGGGGCACGGCGGGCGCCGGGCUGGGCAGACCGCAAUAGAGCAAGGGGCAGCAGCACCGUUGCGGGCGGAUCAGCGGCGGGCGGCGAAGGAGCGGUGGCUCUGCGAGGACGCGGACAGAGAGCUGGAGCAGCAACAACGGAGGUCGAGUAGGGCAGCAGCAGGUCAAUAGCGGCUGUGGGGGCGUCGGGUCGCGGUGAGGAGGCGGGUCACGGCUGUGGCUUCGGCGGUGGUGCUACUGUCACGGCAGGGUUGUAGCAGAUCGGGACAGCAGCUUCGCGGGGCUGGUGGAGCGGAUCGGCAACAGCAGCGGGCUCGCAGGCGAAGCGGAGACUGAGGCGCGACGGAGCAGGGGGUUGCUGCUGUGUCGCGAUCGAAGAUGGAGGCUGGUGUCAGUUGCAGGCGUGAUCGGAACGGCUGAAGCAGGGGCGAGCGUUUGGGUGCAGAUCUGGCGAGGAAGGCCCGAGAUCUGCUGUCGUCGGGGUUGCCGGCCGUCGGGCUGAGGUCGCUGCAGGACGCGGCAAUGCGGCGGUGGUGAAUCGGCGACGAAACAGGGGAGCCCGGGACAGAGCAGGGGCGUCGGGUCGUCGGUUCUGCUGUCGGCGUUGGGUGGAGGCGCGGUGCGGUGCGAUGGCGCAGCGCUGGUCGCUCAGGUGAAGGUGAAGCCUGGACGGCUGCAGGGCUCGACGAAGCUGCUGCGCGAGGAAGAAGAAGACCCUGUUUUCUUCUUCUUCUUUUUCUUUUUCCUGCUCUGCUGCACGUCUCUCUCUCUCUGUUGUCACUGUUCCGGCUGCACCUUUUUCACUUUUUUCAGCAAAAGCAGGACCCUUUGACUCUUACAAAACCCUAAAAACGAUGGAGAAUUUCUCUUUUCGGCUUCUAUUUCUUUUUGCCGAGCAAGAUGAAGAAAACCCCCAAUGCGGCCGUGUCUUUCUAUCGUGGGGCCUCCUCCUCAAACCCUACGCACUUAAUCUAUUUAUAAGCCACGAUUAGGAUUUUAAUUUUUCCAAAUCUGUAUCCACGAAAAUUCCUUUUUCCAAAUGCAAUAUUUGCUUUUGAUACGAUUUAGGAUUGCAAGAGAAUUCUUCUAAAAUUUGAAAUCUCGCACAAAUCAAUUCGUAAAAUCUUUCCGAGGAUACGGGCUUGAGCCGAUUUACUCCCUUUGUGGGCUUAGUUCAAUUCACCAAAUUAACAUUCUGAACCAUCAAUUUGAACCCAUUUGUCACCGUCCCAAUGUAAAUGCAAAUUAAAAUAAAUGCACCUAAAACUAUAUGCUAUGCAAUUAAUUAAUUAACUAAUAUUUUUUUAAGAGUUAAAAUUAAUCCCUAAUUUUUUAAUUAAAAAUGUCACCAAAAUUUAGGUGUCAACAUACAUUUUCUGUUUCCAUUUAGUAAAAAACUAUUAGUUUCAGGAGUCUCCUCUUCCAUUUACUUAUAAUCUUAUUGAUUACUUGACUUACCUCUGUUAAUUUCUGUUAACUUUGCCAGUCUAAUGGACAUCAAUUUAGGUGUGGUCAUGGUAGGCCUUUUAUUUUGAGUGUAUUCGAUAUUUAGUCUACAUAAAUGAAUUAUUAAGUUAUAAAGUUUGUGCAAUUUAUGUUAUUAAUUUCAUUCUUUCAAUAUAAUGCACAUACAUAUAAUUAUGGGCCAAUGUAGGUUGAUAUGGCAUUUGUGUUCAAGGUUUAAGUAUAAGCUUGGAUUAAUUUUCAUGACAUUCCAUUUUUUUAGUGCCUCCGACGCCUAUACAAUGAGAGAUGCAUGAUGCAUGUGUUCAGCAACUUGAAGCACUUUUCAACCAUCCUUGCGGUUGUCAUGAUACAUAGGCACUUUGCUCGUUGUACGUUGUCCUUAACUAGUAGUCCAACAAGAUUGGGCUUUCUCUGCUAAGCAGCUCUUAAAGCCCAUGUGGCAUAGAAGAUGUCAUGUGUCAAACCUUUCGGGUUGUCCUCCUGCUACUCUCCAUAUAAGCAACAAAAGAUCUCUAUUCUCUAUCACCGCCAAAACAUGGAUAGAAGUUCUAUGUAAUUAAGUGGCUUUCACUUACCAUAUACUUCAUGUUCUCUGCUUAUAUAUUUUAGUUUCUAGUGGUGAGAUACUUUGGAUCGAGUUUAUGUAAAAGUUUCCUUUUCUUUCUCUGGGUGAAAAAAUGAGUUUACAUAAGUUGAUGACGUAGCAGAAGAGGAGUAAUGCCGUAUAAAACCGCAUGUGCUAUCGAGUUAAGCGAAGAAUGCAACCACCUAAUUAUAGGCAAAACUAGAAGGCAGCAAAUGCAUUUCUCAUGAAAUAAUUUGGUUUAUUGCAGAAUGACUUCGUCAUAGGCAAAAUGAAUGCAACCCAGUUCAAAACUAAUUCUAGAUAGAGACUUCCAAAGUAAAUUUCUGUUUGAUGUUUUAUCUUUUUCAUUUUUCAGAUUUCCGUCCUUUUUCUAGAUUUUACAAUAAAUUUUUUUGACAUCAACCUUUUAUAUUAUAAUUGCCACAUAAGAUACCACGUUGGCAUUUAUCUUUCAUGGAAGGACCAAUUUGAACAUAAAAAAUAGUUUAGAGAUCCAAUUACGCAAAGAAAUGUUGAGAAAUAUGAUUAAACAUUUUGUAACGGUUCAGAAAGUCCCGAUACCAUAUCCCUCUUUUUUUCUUUUUUCUUUUUUUUUUCUGUGCAUGCAAUAUGGCUUGUCAAUCAACUCAAACAAGGUCAGUAUUAUCGAGAACUAUUUCUGGCAUGGUAUUUUCUAAAGCUUUGAAGCUUUCGCAACUACUUGCCAACACUACUGGUUUUUGUACGGAAGACACUUUGCAUUAAAUAUUUUUUACAAUGAAAUGAUAGAAAGCCGACGAUAAUAUCCUUGUUAGUAGGGGUGAGCGUGGUUCCCGGGUAGAACCGGGAACCGGGGAACCGAACCGGAGGUUCCGGUUCGGUUCCCGGUUCUAAAGGGACCGGUUCCGGUUCCCGGUUCCGAUUUUCUGGGAACCGGAACCGGAACCGGCACUAGGAACCGGAACCGGAACCGGAACCGGUUCAGUCAGGGCUCAAAAAACCCCCCAAAUCAAAUAUUCUCUCGCUUCUUCCACAGAGUCCACACACACGACACUUUUAGUUUUCACUGAGUUCUCUCUUCGCCCGUCCGUUCUCCAUCUCUGCUCGACGCCACCGCCGGUCGCCCUCGAGUCUUGACGCCAUCGCCGGUCGCCCUCGAGUCUUGACGCCAUCGCCGGUCUCCCUUGACGCCACUGCCGCUGGCCCGCUGAUCUCUGCUCGAGGGUCGAGGACUCGAGGCCACCUUCGCUCGCCUUGACAGCACCGCGGCUGACCUCUUCGCCCGUCCGUUCUCCAUCUCUGCUCGACGCCACCGCCGGUCGCCCUCGAGUCUCGACGCCACCGCCGGUCUCCCUCGAAGCCAUUGCCGCUGAUCUCUGCUCGAGGGUCGAGGACUCGAGGCCACCUUCGCUCGCCCUCGACAGCACCGCGGCUGACCUCUUUGCCCGUCCGUUCUCCAUCUCUGCUCGACGCCACCGCCGGUCGCCCUCGAGUCUCGACGCCACCGCCGGUCUCCCUCGACGCCACUGCGGUUGAUCUCUGCUCGAGGGUCGAGGCCACCUUCGCUCGCCCUCGACAGCACCGCGGCUGACCUCUGGCUCACCGUUUGCCCUCGACGGCACCGUCGCUCGCCCUCGACACCACCGCUCGCUGAUCCCUGCUCGAGGCCACCUCCUCUCGCCCUCGACGACACAGCCGCUAACCUCUGGCUGACCGCUUGCCCUCGACGCCAUCGUCGCUCACCCUCGACGCCACCACUCGCUGACCCCUGCUCGAGGCCACCUCUGCUCUCCCUUGACGGCACCGCCGCUGACCUCUAGCUCGCCGCUCGCCCUCGACGCCACCGUCGCUCGCCCUCGACGCCACCGCCGCUCACCCUCGACACCACCACUCGCUGACCCCUGCUCGAGGCCACCUCCGCUCUCCCUCGACGGUAAGAUGCUAUUUGCACAAUUACUUAUGAUUUAACGAUGAUGCUUAAUACCUUGUGAAGUCUUGUGAGAUAACUAUUUAUUAAAUGUCACUAAUUUGAUUGAUGAAAAACCCUUGCAGGAACUGCGCGUGAAUAGUGUGUUUGGUGGCAUUGCUUUGAGCCUUGAGGUAUUUAAGAAAAGAGGUCAUCAACGGAAGCAUAAAGUGAGUUUCUUUUCUGCGUUUUGUUUUGGUCGACUGUUGGUUCAUAAUUUGCCAGACUACUGAGUUAAUUGUGUGGCAGACGUGUCCGGUUUAGUCAUUCGCUGUCUUCGGAGGAAAGCACCGUUUCUCAGCUUGGCUUGUUUUCUUAUUGGGCCAUCAGGAACUUAAUCUCAGUCAAAGUAAAAUGUGGGUACUUUCUUGACUGCUUCCUGGACUCAUCUCUGCGUUUUUGUCUUGAACUGCUCGUCUCUCCUUCCAGUAUGUUGCUUAUGGUAGGGGACUUCAUACUUUGUUUGGCUGCUUUUGUCCCGUUUCUUUCUUCUAUCCGUUGGCUUGUUCGACCUUGUUCUGUUUUAUUUGCUUGCUUAUAGCUAUAUAUGUCUAAUAUUAUUCGUGUAUCAUAUAAAAAGCUAUGCCGGAUGAUCAUUCUGUUAAUGAAAAAAGAUGUUAGAUGUAACUUGUAAUUAUGGUUCACCGAGUGGUUUGUCCCAGAUCUCCCAUGAUCAUUCGGAAAGUCAUACGUAUGCUUAGAAUAUUGUCUGCCUUGUGUUGCUCGUCAAAAUUCUCAGCAAAUGAUCAAGAUGAAAGUUCGUUUGAUUAUGCUUCAAACUGCAUAAUUUGUGGGCUGUGAUUUCUUCGGUCUACAAGAAGUUAAUUAGCUAGAGGAAGUGAGAGUCCCUUCCUUCUUUAUGAAUAAAAAAGCAUCAGAACAGUUGAAAUUGGAAUCUCAGGCCACNNNNNNNNNNNNNNNNNNNNNNNNNNNNNNNNNNNNNNNNNNNNNNNNNNNNNNNNNNNNNNNNNNNNNNNNNNNNNNNNNNNNNNNNNNNNNNNNNNNNNNNNNNNNNNNNNNNNNNNNNNNNNNNNNNNNNNNNNNNNNNNNNNNNNNNNNNNNNNNNNNNNNNNNNNNNNNNNNNNNNNNNNNNNNNNNNNNNNNNNNNNNNNNNNNNNNNNNNNNNNNNNNNNNNNNNNNNNNNNNNNNNNNNNNNNNNNNNNNNNNNNNNNUAUGUCAAAAUAUUAUUUAUAGUUUGGCAAUUGUGCUUGCAUUUUGAGUUCCAGGCUGAAGUAUUUGCAUUUCACUCAGUCUUUAAGAUACACUUUGUCUGAUGGAUCAUCACCGUAAUACUCCUUGUUUGAACAUCUGAACCACAUGGAUAAGAAAGGAGAAACUGGAAAACUUUAGUUGCGUUUUCUAAUAGCUAAAGGUCCAGUUCUCUUGUGCUGAUCUUUCCAUUGUUGUCUCAGCUUCUCCCUUUAAAUCAUGACCCCUUUUUUUUCUAUUAGUCUCUUAGUUGGCAUUUGAUUGAUAUCUGAAAUUCUUUUUGCAGCAAGUCGAAGGAUUAAAUUUCUUCCGCUCAAGGCUAGCUUUUGGGAAAUCAUAAGAUCAAGGUAAAUGACAAAUCAUUAAUGCCUUGAUUAUGUUGUCAAGCAUAUGAUGCACAUGCACCCGAAUUGCAAAUAUCAUAUAUUACAGGUUCAAUAUAUGUGUGCGAACUAGGGACCAAUAUUUUUUCGACAAGUGUAUUGGAAGAUCUUGGCCAAUGGACCUUUUAGGCUUAAUGAAGCGACCAAUAAAUUUAAUGUUUGUUUUCCAUGCAAUCCUCCUCAAUAAUUAGGGAGGAAAUCUCUUUUCUAAAUGUAAAGAGAGAUGAUGUUGUGAACGGAUUCAUUACAAUUUUCAUGGAAUUAAAGGAUUAUCUUAAUUCUCUUCUAACAUCCUCACUGUUUUGAUUUCGAUGGGCAUCUCUUUUUUAUAGUGUUGUCUCUUCAUUUUGUGUCAUUUUAUACGUCCUUAUUAUUAGUACGUUUUUUAUCGCUAUCAAAAUGUUUCAAUGUAAAUCUUUUUUAAUUCCAAAAAAGGUUAACAAGUGUUAAAGCAGUGUCUUUUUUGAAUUUGUAAAGCUGGUGUAAACCCGGCGAGAGAGAUCUUCCAUGGCCAUAUUUGUUGGAAUUGGCGAGGAUGCUAUGCCUCUAAAAAGCCCUUGUAGUUUAAUAUUCAAGUUCAUUUGUUUCUCUUGAUGAUUAUCAUAUAUUACAGGUUUAUUCUCUUUUGGCAGUUAUUUAAAGGAUAGUGCGACACAAAUCGUUGAUCCACCAACCAGUCCUGAAGAGGAGGAAGAGAUCUUACCUCUUUAAGAAGCCUAAGUUCUCUCUUGAUCCUUCUUUUCCACGGUUUCACCUUGCUGGUUAAGGUAGGCGAUGAAAUGAACAGACUGAAAUUGGUCUACUUUCCCAUGGUUUGUGCUGUAUUAUGUUUUUAUAUAACAUCGGUAUGCUGUAUUUCAACAUAAUAGACUUAACUUAUGUGUAAAAGUACUGUAUUAUGUUUCUAUAUAGCAUUAGUAUGCUGUAUUUCAACAUAAUAGACUUAGCUUAUGUAUAAAAGUGCCGUAUUAUGUUUCUAUACAGCAUUGGUAUGCUGUAUUAUACUGUAUUAACGUUGUUAUCAACUAAAUUAAUUAUAUUCUGUAAUUGUUAUGUAGUGCAAAGUUAAUGUAUCAAGAUAACACAUCAAUGGAGGUGGAGGGACAUGAUGAUAUGACUCCGGAAUUGGAAUUUUCUGACCAUGAAAAUGAAGAAGCGGCACCCCCUAGUACGAGUGCCAUGAGUAAGGUACCUGGUUCUCAUCUUCCUCAGGAUAAGAAAUAUACAUCAGAAUGUUGGAAUCAUUAUACAAGAAUCAAUGAUAAGGAUGGAAAACCAAUUCAAGUGAAGUGCAUACAUUGUGGGACAAUACUUACGUAUCGUGUUGCUAACAGUACUUCUGCAAUGAGGAAGCACUUGACCACAUGUAGGAGGUUUCCCCGUAAUGUAGAUAAGAGACAAAAAUUCUUCAUGCCACGUAAUGUAGACAUGGCUAGCAAGUCAGGAGGUGAUUCUAAUAUUGGUAGUAUCUUAUCAACAUGGUCGUUUAAUCAAGAACGUUGUAGGCGAAUGCUUGCUCGGUUUAUCAUUAGUGAUGAGCAACCUUUUUCCUUGGUUGAGCGUGUUGGAUUUCGUGAGUUUGUUAGUGAGUUACAGCCUCUUUUCAAACAUAUAUCACGUUUCACAGUGGCAAAAGAUUGCAUGAAGUUGUAUAUAGAUGAAAGAACUUCUUUGAAGAAUUAUUUUCGACAGAUUAAUUCUAGGAUUGCACUCACGACUGAUACAUGGAGCUCCAUUCAAAAUCUGAAUUAUAUGUGUCUCACUGCACAUUUUAUUGAUGAAAAUUGGAAGUUGCAUAAAAGAAUCAUCAAUUUUGUGGUGAUGCAUAGUCACAGGGGUAGGGAGAUUGGGAAAAUGGUGGAGAAAUGCAUUCAAGAGUGGGGAAUUGAAAAAAAGGUGUCAACAAUCACUGUGGAUAAUGCUAGCUCGAAUGAUGUUGCAAUUAACUAUUUGAGGGAUAAAUUUUUCAAAGAAAAGUCGUUGAUAUUGGAUGGUAGUGUUUUGCAUAUGAGGUGCACAGCUCAUAUAUUGAAUUUGAUUGUGAGAGAUGGCUUGACUACGGUACAUGACUCCAUUGCACGUGUCCGGAAUGUGGUUAGGUAUGUAAAGAGUUCUCCUGCAAGAGCCAAUGCAUUUCAGUCUUGCAUUAAGAGUGAAAAUAUCACUUAUAAAGGUUCGGUAGUUCUUGACGUUGCUACUAGAUGGAAUUCCACUUAUCUCAUGUUAGAUACCGCCAUCAAGUUCAGAAAAGCUUUCCAAAGACUGGAAGAUGACAAUUUAUCAUUUGCAAGUGAGCUGAAUCAUGAAACUCCUACUGAUGAUGAUUGGGAAAAUGCUAUUGUUAUUUCAGAUUUUCUAAAGUAUUCUAUGAUGCCACCAAUCGAAUGUCGGGGAGUUCAUAUGUUACUUCAAAUGAUUAUUUUGAAGGAAUAGCUCGUUUGUAUAGAUAUUUGAAAGAUGCAAUCAAUGCUUCGGAUCCUAGGCUUCAUGANNNNNNNNNNNNNNNNNNNNNNNNNNNNNNNNNNNNNNNNNNNNNNNNNNNNNNNNNNNNNNNNNNNNNNNNNNNNNNNNNNNNNNNNNNNNNNNNNNNNUAAGUUGAAUUUAUGUGGACUUUCUUGUAUGGACAAAUUUAUGAUGAUGAAUUGAAAGUUAAAGAGAUGCAUUUCAAGGUGAAGGAUGCAUUGGAGCGUUUGUAUGAAUUUUAUGAGCAAUCAUCUCUUAUUUCAAGUGAUCAUAAUUUUGGUGGCCAUAGUUUGGGUGUAAGUAGUGGUGCUUUUAAUGUCGAUUCGAGUGGUAGUGAAGGAAUAAAGAAGUAUGAUGGACAAGUUUGGAAGAAAAUGUUUUUAUACUCGAAUGAACAAGGGUGUGAUGACAACAAAUCCGAGCUUGAUCAAUAUCUUCAAGAGAAAAAUGAAAAGAAUCUUGAUAUUGACAUUUUGAUGUGGUGGAAGACCAAUGGCUCAAAAUAUAAGAUUCUUUCUUUGAUGGCUCGAGAUAUUUUGUCCAUUCCCGUAACUACCGUUGCUUCCGAGUCAACUUUUAGUGCAUCGGGUCGUGUUCUUGAUGGUUUUCGAAGUUCUUUAACUCCCAAAGUAGUGGAAGCUUUGAUUUGCACUCAAGAUUGGUUGAGAGCCGUUCGUGUACCGAUUGAUAUUGAGGAGUGCAUCGAGAAUGCAGAAAAAUUUGAGUUGGGUAAGUGACAUUGUUUAUAUCUUUAUAUAUUGUAAUUAUUUUUGUAUAUCUAUAAGUGAAUAUUUUUUUAAUCUCUUUUUCUUCUUCUUUUUAUAGAUAUGGAUGGUCUUAAUGGGGAGACUAUCGCCGGUAAAUAGAGUUUAUCACUGGGAGGAUGCGGGCCAAGUGAAGGUGCUGAUGGAGAAGUUAGAAAUCAUGAUAAAGCUUGGUGAGUUCCUGAAAUAUUGAGCAGGCAUGAAAACUGAAGAGCAUUUAACCUGUUGAAUUUGCUUGUUUACUCAAAAUGGUUAAUUUUAUGUUGUCUUAUUAACUAAAUGCUGCAGGUUCUGCUGGAAUUCAAGGAGUAUGCUAUAUAAGUAGAUGUCAAUUUUGUUGGAAAGGCAGUCCGUGCUAUUGGUCGCUGUGCAAUCAAGUUGGAGAGAGCAGCAGAGUGAUGCAUCAGUGUUUUGCUGGAGCUGAUUAAGAUUAAAGUCAAUUUUGUGGUUCAAGAAGCCAUUAUAGUUAUUAAAGACAUUCGGAAGAUAUCCUAACACGUUAGUCUCGAUAUCUGUAAUUUUUGGAGUACGUGAACUGAAAAGCUGUUCCAUUCAUCUCUUAAUUUAGUGGUGCUCUCAUCAUGCAGGCUGAGAAGAUUGAAGAGAAGAGGAAGCUUGAAGAGGAAGACUUAGCUAGAUUGACUAAAGAGAAGGAAAGCCAUGACUUAGAAUUUUUCUGUCCAUCAAUGCAAAUCUUUUAAUUUAUGGAACGAUUUAAAAAAUCCACUCAAAUCUUUUUCUGCAGGUUUACAGGUUGAAGCAUUAGUUGACGCAGCAGAGAACUAUCACCAAGUUCUUGCAGAAAAUAGGAGGCUAUUUAAUGAGGUUCAAGAUCUAAAAGUUGACUCUUCCUGCAUGUCAGGUUGUGCGCAUUCUUAUGAGAGAUAUGACUGUAUGCCACCUGUAUAGUUGAUUGGCUCCUCUUGUUCUUCUUCUUGUAGAUGGUAGUUCAUUGACUUCUCAUAGGUUUUUUAUGUGUGCAUGUGUUGCAUUAUAUGUCAAGGGUAGAAAUUUUCAAUCCUACGCAAGUUUUUUUCCAAUAUAUUAGGUGGGUAUCCUAUUGAUGUAACUGAUUCAUGUUGGGAGAUCUAUCUUCUCAUUCAGAAGACAAGUGACCAGCAAGGCAAUUUUCAAGAUAGGCUUCUUGGUUUUGCUGCUGUAUACCGUCUGUAUCACUAUCCUAAUAGUCCACGACUGCGGCUGGGUCAGAUUUGCUGUUAUCCUGGUUAAAUGUAACAAAGAAGACAAGUUUUCAGUGCUUUAGGAGAGCAUGUAAAGUGUAUUUUAUCAGUUAGUUUACCACUCAUGAGCCCUUUUGCCAAUGGCAACUUCCCAUCCCAAGGCACCAUGUUUAGUUUCCAAAUUUCCAGGAUUACUAAAGCUCUCCUUCUCCAUGACACAGUGUUGUUGAUAUGACUCAUUUCAGGCAGAAAGGUGCAGUCCUUGACGACCAACCAAUUCCAACUAAUUCAGUUCCAUCUCAUGAAAAACCACGGUUUUGAUAUUUUGUUGAAUGUGAAGAUGCUGCGGUGAGUUGCAUGGUUACUUUUCUCUUUUGUACAUGGUAAUAGCCUUUGUUUGUUAUCUGGAAGUGUUUCUUCAUGACUCUUUAAGCUUGAUGUGUGUUGGUGCAGAGUGUGGUAAUGAUCAGCUGCAAAUGUGAGUACCUUUCAGGUCUUGAAAAGUUGUGUAUCUGGCACCUUUAAGAAUUUAUUUUCUACCAGAACCUUGAUGAAAAUAGGCUUUGAUUGGAGAAAAGAGUUAUGAUAACACCAUCUGCAUAUAGCAUGGCAUCACACAUGUGAACAGGCGCAUAUUUGACAUACAUCUUCAUGCCUGUGCAAAGGGUGGAGCAAAAUAUCAAAUGUUAACUUCUCAGUAAAAAUUUAAGUGUAGUGAGGAUAUUCUUGUUUUCUUCAUAUUUGUGAUACAUAUCAUCAUGUAUGAUGAGACAGUUUGCAGAAAUCAUGAGAUUCUCUAUUUACUGCAUUCUCUCAUUUUUUUUUCCUAAUAUAUCGAUAGUUCUUCACUACAGGUCCUAUUUACUAAUUCUUCAUAUGGGGCUUUAUCUGAAGUAUUCAUGUUCUAUGGGAUCAACAAUUGCUGUGUUUGACAACUACUUUUAUGUUAGAAUGUUGCCUCGGAGGCCAACUUUCCCUUUUACUUCUAAUUAGUGCUAGAUAUUUCUUCUCCAUAGAAGUAAUAUAUUCCAAGCAUUGUUACGUAGGUUGGCUUUCUAGAGGAGCACUCUUCUGCUUACACUUCAAUUAAGUGGAUAAAAAUUUCCCCUCUUUUGCAAUUUGUUGAGGAAAACUAACCAUGCGUGUUUUGUUUCAGGAUGAGAAGUUUAUGAUUUGGUACUCAGGCCAAGAGGAAAAGCAAUUGAGACUAAGCUCAGUUACUGAAGUUAUUUGUGGACAGAAGACUGUAUGUGCUAUUAACAUGCAUCCGAAUGCAAAUUGGUUUUUUGAUUCAAGUAAAUAUCUUUCAGUGCUCCUUCUGUUUUACUAACAGGAAUUUUCACUUUGCAAGGUAAAUUUUCAGAAGCAACUUCAACCAGACAGGGAGGCACAGUCAUUUACUACAUUGAUUUAAUGCUGCAUUAUUCUGACCAAGUCCAUGCGCUUCAGUUGGAAAAACAGUUGCACUGUGCUAGUAAUUUCUUCGUCUGUGUUGCUAUUUAUGGCCUUGCUUCUAUUCUGUAAUCUUUCACCUCUUUAAUGAUUAUCCUCUCACCUUGCAGCUGCCAUUGAGAAGGAUCUAUGGGCAACUGGAACUGUCAAUGAAGAGUAUCUAAAGGCUCUGAAUGCAUUCUUUGGCAAUUUUCCACGUUUACAAGCCACCAAGCCUGCAAUACUUAGUAUUCCUCAUCUGGUCUGGUUACCUCCCUAAAGACGGGUUCUGAGGCAACUCAAGAAGCUGCUCUAGCCUCUAGAUGCACUUUUCCUGAUGCGGCAAGCCUGGUCAGCGACUCAGCAUGCCCAGCUGAGGUUUCAAAUGAACUCGAAGCAGCUCAUCCAAGAACGGCAAAGUUCUCGAUCAUAGUGGCAGUGAUCUCCUCGUUCAUGGUUGGUCUGGUCUUGUCGGCGAUCUUGCUUGCCACUCAGGACAUAUAUCCAUCCGUAUUCUCCAGAGAUUUGUAAGGACGGCGAAAAUCAGUCAUUUAGCACCAUCUGAAAUGUAAAUAUGUUCAUCGAAGGACAACUUGUGAAAAUGUCAGUCGACUUACUCAAUGACAAUAUUAGGUUGAAAGUCAGCAACUUUAGAGUGUUAUUGAUUAGUGGAUUGAAGUACUAUCUUUCUUCUUUUGUCAACAGGAGGACUUACAAGCCUGGUGGUUGUGGUAAAGGUUGUGGUUCCAACAGUACAGCUCCUCCAUGCACUGGGUAGGUGCCCUGCACCAUAUACUAUUGAAAGUGCCUUGUAUCUGUUGGCUGUACUUUAUAUUGUCGGAUGGAUUGUCUGUUUUUUCAAGCUAAGCUUGUCGGUCUUUUUUUUUUUUUCAAAUACUAUAUUCUCUUUUUCCUUAUGUUGAUCUUCUAGUAUGGGCUUCUGUAGAAACUAAGUGGAUUUAAUCUGUUACAGGUAUAUAGAGAUGAUGGCUCCAGUUUUAUCCAGAGUUGCCUGGCGCUGUGUAUGGUAUAUGAUUCAGGUGUGCCAUUUUAUUGCGUCUGGUGUUUGUCUUUUUCUAGGACAUCAAAGUGUCUGCUUGUAUAUUGGGGCCAUGUCAAUCAUAAGAGAUCUAGGUUAGAUAGGUAGGCAUUGAGUUGUGGAAGAUGAUAUCUUUAUUGUAUGAGUUUGAAUUUGACUUUAAAUUGGAUGCUGUCUGCUAUGGACCAGAAUAAUAAAGUAGGAAACUAUCUCAUUGAUAAUCUGUGUGUGUCUAAGAGGAUGAUAAUGCUGUUUGUGUAUAUUCUCUUCAAUGAAUGACAAGUUUGUUUAUUAUUGUUGCAUUCAUUUCCAUUUUUUUAAACUAAAAAUGAAAAAAAGAAAAGAAAAAAAGAACCUAUUGGAACCUGUUGGAACCUGGAACCGACCCUGGAACCUGUGACAGGGUAGGUUCCAGGUUCUUGGUUUGACGGGUAGGUUCCCGGUUCCAAAAAAUGAGAAACCUGUACCCGAGGGUAGGUUCCAGGUUCCAAGCGGAACCUGUAAGGAACCGGGAACCGCUCACCCCUACUUGUUAGUAACAGAGCAGUAGCGUCGCAUUUUCUGUCUUCAUUCAGCUAACAAACCGUGACAAGCAAACAGAACCAAUAUCAACAGGGAACCGCGGUUCAACUAGUCCUGAAAUUGCUCCUUNNNNNNNNNNNNNNNNNNNNNNNNNNNNNNNNNNNNNNNNNNNNNNNNNNNNNNNNNNNNNNNNNNNNNNNNNNNNNNNNNNNNNNNNNNNNNNNNNNNNNNNNNNNNNNNNNNNNNNNNNNNUACAUGUUGAUUUUAAGUCUCUGAAAAGAAAAAUGGAAGAACAUUCGAGGACACUUCAACUUUACCUUGAUUUUGUUUAUCAUGAAAUCGAUGUUUGAGGCUUAGUCUUGGCCGAGCUCGAACCCUUGUCUGUCCCUGAUCUUGCGCCCAUUUCAGUUGCGCCCCUUCCUAAACUUAAUGUCGUUCCCCUUCCUGAAUUGAUAGUUGCGCCCUUUUCUGAAGUUAACCCUCUGCCUCUUCCUAUACUCGAAGUCAUGCUGCUUCGUAAAUUUAAAGAACCUUUGUUCGCCCCUGAUCUUAAACUUGUGUCCAUUUCAGUUGUGCCCCUUCCUAAACUUACAGUCGUGCCCUUUCCUGAAGUUGAACCUCUGCCCCUUCCUGUACUCAAAGUCGAGCUGCUUCGAGAACUAGACGCUAUGCCCCUUCCUGAACUUGAACUUGUGCCCAUAUUAGUUGUGUCCCUUCUUGAACUUGAACCUCUACCCCUUACUGAACUCAAAAUCAUGUCUCGUCCUGAACUCAAAGUCGCACUGCUUCGUGAAAUUGAAGAUAUGCUCCUUCCUGAAUUUCAUGCCUUGCCCUUUCCUAAAGUGGAAGCUGCGUCGCUACCCGACCUUGAACCUUUGCUGUUUCUCGAACUUGAAGCUAUACUCCUUCCUCCGCCUCUUUCUGCAGGACCCCUUCCUGGAUUUGAACCACGUCCAGUUCCACUUCCUCUAGCUGUUUUGGCGGCUAUUCGGUCAGUCUCCACAGAUCUAUCUCUCUUCACCUGGACCACGUUGAAAUUCCACAUUAGUUUUGAAGACUGCACAACUGAGAUAAUGCAAAUAUUCAUUACUUACAGAAGAAAGGUCCCCUUCAUCCUCAACUUCAGUUGUAGCUUUGCAGGUGCUCUCAUGAUGUUCAACUCUUUCGCCCCUUUGCCAACUCGACUGAACAAUGUUAAAAAAAAUAAUUUUGGAUGUGCGCGUUGCGUGCGGAAGCAUGGUUUUGGUAUUGGUUAUAGUUUUUGGUUUGUGAUGUGUGCAAGUGUAUAGUAUAUUUUGUGGAGGAUGAACAAGGGACAAGGUAGGAUGAUUUGAGGGAUAUAGGACAUGAGAUAUGGGGGAAAUAGUUUUAUUAGUUAAACAAACUAGUUUGAUGAAAGUACGAUGAAGGUCUAAGACCUUUCACGGUGAAGAGUUCACCCCUACAUUCAAGGUGGAGGUAACCUCUCACGCACUCACAUGAUCAACAUUCAAGCCUAUUUAUAGGCGUGAAUCACCGCCAUACUCCACCGACAUUGAGUACAAAAAUAAUAUAAAAUUACAGCUGGCUUCUUGUCUUCUCUUGUUGCGACUUCUCCCGCAUCUUCUGGUGGCUUCUCCAUUUUUCUGUAUUUUUCUGUUCUUUACCACUCUCAGCCACUUUUGUUGACUUUUCUUCCAAGAUUUUCAUGCACAAAUUUCCCAUGCACGUAGAGCUUGUUCUCUUGAAAACUCCAGCAACUUCUAAAAUAUUAUUUUAUUGUGUGCCCUUCUUUUUCUUGAUCAGCUUGAGGCUUCUUCACGUGUCUUCAAGUUCGUUCUCCAUUAAGCUAGAAACUUCUAGAUUUGUUGAAAAUGGAUCAAUAAUUUCCAACACUCCCCCUUGAUCCAUUUUCGGGAUAUUCUAGACUUAUGUUAUAAAGUCUCGAACGUACCUUGAAAUUUCUCUUGUAAUUUAUCUCAUGCCUUUUAUUCUGUCUUCGUUCCACGAUCCCUUGCAUUCUCUUGUUGAAACACUUGCACUUGCCUUUGAAUACGCAUGUCUUUUCUUCAACGAUGUCCCAUAUGUCUCGGAACAUCAAAAUGCAUUUAGUUGUAGUUGUUAGCUCGGGCUCUGGCUCUGGCUCUCGUAGGCUCUGGCUCUGGCUCCGGCUUUGGUUUUGGCUCUGGCUCCGGCUCUGGCUCUCUUGGCUCUCGCUCGGGCUCUGGCCUUUAAUUCUGGCUCUGGCUCCGGCUCUAGCUCUGUUGGCUCUCGCUCGGGCUCUGGCCUUCUUAGUUGAGGAUGGUGAGGACAAACGCCCAUAACCAUCCGAUGUGCCUAUCUCUGGCUUCACGAUCCUUUACACCUGGCUCAGUUACGAACCUGGGUGCGUCUGGCUCUGAUACCAUGUUAAAAAUUAAAUGUUUUUGAAUUUGCGCGUUGCGUGCGGAAGCAUGGUUUUGGUAUUGGUUAUAGUUUUUGGUUUGUGAUGUGUGCAUGUGUAUAGUAUAUUUUGUGGAGGAUGAACAAGGGACAAGGUAGGAUGAUUUGAGGGAUAUAGGACAUGAGAUAUGGGGGAAAUAGUUUUAUUAGUUAAACAAACUAAUUUGAUGAAAGUACAAUGAAGGUCUAAGACCUUUCACGGUGAAGAGUUCACCCCUACAUUCAAGGUGGAGGUAACCUCUCACGCACUCACAUGAUCAACAUUCAAGCCUAUUUAUAGGCGUGAAUCACCGCCAUAAUCCACCGACAUUGAGUACAAAAAUAAUAUAAAAUUACAGCUGGCUUCUUGUCUUCUCUUGUUGCGACUUCUCCCGCAUCUUCUGGUGGCUUCUCCAUUUUUCUGUAUUUUUCUGUUCUUUACAACUCUCAGCCACUUUUGUUGACUUUUCUUCCAAGAUUUUCAUGCACAAAUUUCCCAUGCACGUAGAGCUUGUUCUCUUGAAAACUCCAGCAACUUCUAAAAUAUUAUUUUAUUGUGUGCCCUUCUUUUUCUUGAUCAGCUUGAGGCUUCUUCACGUGUCUUCAAGUUCGUUCUCCAUUAAGCUAGAAACUUCUAGAUUUGUUGAAAAUGGAUCAAUAAUUUCCAACAAACAACAUCACUUUGGUUGGCAGGUUCCCCACUCUCGUCCUUCUCCUCCUUUCUAUUUUCCAUACUUGUCGUUUUCCCUCCAUUGACAGCGCCGGAGUGCCCAACCCUUUCGUCCUUCAUUUGGCUUCUAUUCCCUGGGGCCUCAAAACAUUCAGCAUUGGUUGGCUCUGGUUGGAAAUCAUCAAUGGAGGAGUUGCCAUCAGUUUCGCUUUCAUCCACAGAUGCAGAGUCCGAGUCUUCAUCAGGCCUUGAAACGUCCCUUUCAGCCUCAUUCUGAACAUGGAAAUGAAGAGCAGAUUGGAAUCAAGAGCAGACGAUUAACUCAACAUGCUUUGUUCCGCUAGAAUUUGGACGGUUUACUUAUAAAAUUGAUUUAUUAGCUUUCCUUCUUUAAAAUUUAUCAUCGUUUGCUCUAAUCAUUCCAUACCAUGCCCAGCAAAGCCAAAAAGAAAAAAAAAAAAGAGGAGUAAGUCUUGCUAUCCCAUCAAGUUCCGUUUCUGUUUCUAACUUUAAUACUGUUAUUUUAGUGAACUUAACCUUCAUCUUGUAUUCACUUUAAUUACGAUAGUCUCCUCUUUUUUAGUAAUUUUAUGUACUUCACGUUUUACUAUCUUUUAAUUGUUAGAUAUUUAUUUCAAUUAUAAUACUGAUAUAAAUUCUUUUUCUUUUGCAUUUCGAAACUGAAAAGGAGUUCUAUUUUCUACUUUUCAUAUUCGUAUGAAAAUCCCCUAACAACGGGACACAUUGUUUUAAAUCAGUCUAAGAAAGUCUGUAUGUUGUAUUCUUUUCAUAUGUAAAAAAAUAUGCUUCAAAAUCAAAUAGUGUCUCUUUUCGUCCAUAAGUUGCAUUUUUUAGAGAAAUAAUUUAUUUGCUCAUAUAAAAGUUACAUCCUGAUAUAAUAUAUGAUUAUUUGUUCAAGCAAUACGCGCUUCGAUUUACUUUGAAAUAAUCAUGUACUAUUAAAAAAAAUGACAAUCCUGCAUGUUCGCGAUUUGCAGUGGUGCUAAAAUUGCAUUGACAGCAACUCAAGCCCACUGGUAGCCGAAAAUACAAAGCAAGUCAAGCCCACUAUUUAUGCAUGCACCGGCAAAGCGGUACAUAAAUGUGACUCACAGUUAUCGCUUAAACUACAAGUGGAUAGAUCAGCUCUGAAUUAAAAUGCAUAAACAUUUCAACAAAAUUAUUAAAGAAAGAGGCAAAACAAACAUUCUAAGUAUCUUUACUCAAGAGGCCAACACAACAGAUUCAUAGGAGGUGGAUCAUCAUAAUAUCAAACAUAUAUACCACAAAUUAACUACCCUUCGCUCUUUAUUUGAAGAUUGUAACUACUCACUUUCUAUAUGAAUGGAUACAUUAGUUAAUUUUUGAAUCAUUAUUUUGUUUUUCUAUAUCCAACAUUCACUAGACAAUCCUUUGGAAACAAGACAUAAAUGCAUUUAACAGAGUAGAAAUUUUUACUCUAGAUAAAAUAAAUAAUCUAGAUAUAAAAAAGUUGAAUCUACAAAUCACAAAAAUGUAAAGACAUAAAACAUAAAAAAAACAAAACAUAAUAUGUAUGUACAUAUAUACAUAUGACUAUGUGCUUAUUGGUAGCCAAAAAUGGAAAGCUAGUCAAGUCCAUUGUAUGUGCAUGCACUGGCAAAACAACAAAUAAAUGCGUAACACGGUUUUUUAUUAAUCUGCAAGUAAAUGGAUUAGCCCUAUAUUAAAUUGCAUAAAUUAGUCUAACAGGAAUAACAAAGAACAAGGCAAAACAAACAUUACAAUUAUGCUUACUUGAGAGGGAAACAACGAACUUACAAGAGAUUAAUUAUCAUAAUAUCAACAUAUAUGCCACAACUUAUCUGCCUUCAUUCGCUUUCCCAUGUGGCAACACUUGGUAGAAUCUAAUGAGUUCUUUUUCUUUUUCUUUUUCUUUUAAAUUUUCUUUUGUACAGCUAUGAAUUGGACAGUAAUUUCUCCAUGCCGCAUUAAUGAGAUAAUCAAAUUAAAUAGUCCAUAAUUACCUUUAUUACAUGCGCGAUAUUAUAUUUGUGCAUUAAUUAUGCCUAUUGCAAAACUUAAAAAAGAAAUAGUUGCAAAGGAAUGAUAUAAUGUUUUUGAAAUCAAUAAUUUAUGAUCUGUCAUCUAGCAUGUUAUCUAUGAAAAGUAAUUCUGAUUAAUUUAAUAUUUAGAGUGAUUAUAUUAGUUUGCUAGCAAUACUAAACAACUAAGACUAUCCAACACCAAAAAGGAAGAAGAGAUGAGUGACUGAUGUAAGGAAACAAAUCAACCACCUAAGACAUUAGCGUGCAACAAAAAAAUGGCAACUUUGAAAAGGCAGAUAUCAUGUCGCUAAAGAAAGGAGGACAUUUGGCCUAAAAAGGAAGCAUGCAAAAGUCCCACACAUUGCCGUACCUGAAGAAUGUCUUCUUUAUAAAGCUUCAGGGGCAGCUUUCUAUGUAAAUGACCAAAAUCUUUGAUAUGGUCUCCACAUUUACUUAUAUAGGCGAGGCAAUUAUCUGGUAUUUUUGUGCAAGAUGCAUCAAUCAACCUUCCCAAUGACUUGCACAUUGCGACCUCCAAGUAUUUCAGAGACUCUAGCUCGUCAAGGCCCUCAACAUUAGUAAGUACAUGGCAGCCAUGGAUUUUCAAACUCUCUAGGUUCUUCAAGUAUAACAACCCACUUAUUCUUGUCAAAGAUUCGCAAUGAUGAAUGUCCAUGAUUUUCAAUGAUUCCGAAAGAUCCACAACUCGUAUCUCAACUAGCUCUCGACACAAUGAUACACUCACUCGUCGUAGCUUCAGUAAUUUCGAAAGAAUGAAUAAUCUCUGAAGCCGUAUACAAGAAUGGACAUUUAAUUCUUCUAGUUGUGGAAGUCCCUCGAGUAAAAUGUCUUCGACUUCACAAUGACUGAUCGAUAGAGUCCACAAAUACUUCCAACUGUUGGUGGAGGACGGAAGCUGCAUGAGGGUUUUUAAGUCUAGGCCUGCCAAAUUAAGGAAUUCUAGACGAGGAAGAUAAGCCAACUCUAAAGGUCCAAGGACGCCAAGCAAACAUAACGUUAACUUUUUCAGUUUAGAUAACCCCUCAAUCCAACAUAAAUUGCAUCCUGUGAUCGGUUUUGAUAUCCCUCCAGCAAAUUUGUAAUUACUCAGUUGCAAUUCAUCCAACCUAGUAAGAUACGACAAAUUGGGUACCGAGAGCAAUGAUUCAGAUUGCAUACGUAGACAAGUCAAACUUGUGGGAAACUUCGGCAACUCUUGAAUGUCAUGACAAUCCAAUAAGUCGACCAUUUGGAGGUGACAAAGCAUGUCGAUUUUCCCAAGAAUUCGGCAAAUACCAGUGGAUUUUAAAUUUAGGAUUUUUAAAGAUGACAAUCCUUCAAUUCCAUAAGGAAUUUCACCUUUCAUUUCUUUAUGCCUAGAGAGAUCUAGCUCUUCAAGAUUUAUCAACAUGCCAAUGCCUUUAGGUAAAUGCCAAGCAUGAUUCUCCCUAUGUCGUACUGCGAAACGGAGGACGCAUAAUGAUUUUAACUUUCCAAUGGAGCUGGGAAGUUCCCUUAUACUCGUUUUCGAUAAGUCCAACUCUUUCAAUGAGGUUAAAUUCCCAAGCGAGCUGGGAAGUUCCCUUAUGCUCGUAUGCGAUAAGUCCAACUCUUUCAAUGAGGUUAAAUUCCCAAGUGAGUUGGGAAGUUCCCAUAUGCUCGUAUUCGAUAAGUCCAACUUUUUCAAUGAGGUUAAAUUCCCAAGCGAGUUGGGAAGUUCCCUUAUGCUUGUAUUUGAUAAGUCCAACUCUUUCAAUGAGGUUAAAUUCCUAAGUGAGCCUGGGAGCUCUCUCAACCCAAAACAUCCUCGCAAUGAGAAGCACUCAAGCUUACCUAGUGCCCCCACUUCAUCAGGCAAAUCAGUAAGAUAUCGGCAGCCUUCAAUCUCUAACUCAAUUAAGGAUUGUAGUUUUCCGAUGAAACUUUCAAUUUUCUUUAAAUUUUGGCAAUUUGCAAUAGUCAACCUCUCUAAUUCCAAGCACUCAGAGAAGUUUGGGAUUGUCGUUAUACCAUCACACCACCUGAGAGAUAGAACUUUCAACUUCCGUGCCCCCUGUAAAAAGGAUGGCAUGUCAAGUGUAAGAACCAAUGCAUAGUAACACUGGGACUGUUAGACUAGAAUCAAAACAUGUGAUUUACCUUGAUCAAGUCCCAUGCUUUUGAAUCAUCUUUGAAGUAAUUGUAGUCAAGUUUGAAAACAACAAGAUCAUUGAAAUAUAUAUUGUUUGCCCUGAAAUCAGUUAUCAAAUGCGAAGGACUGUGCAAAGAAAUCCAUUUCAACUUUGAAUGACACCUUGCAAAGUCCCCAAUAAAAGUUGCCAAUUUUAACUUGAGGAAUCUUAGGUUUGGAAACUUUUCAAACUCUUCAUUUGUGAUAUGUAUAAACCCUGUAUAAAUACCAAGAGAUCCUUCUAUCUCAAGUGCUUCAACUUCAUUCUUCCUCUGCAAGUGAAAUUUUCCAAUGGUGUGAAUAAGUUAGUCAACUUCCAACCACUAUGGUUUACAAUCUUGAAUGGAUAAGAAAAAAAUGAUAAACAUCCUAAAUCAAGCAGGAAUCCUUUAUCUUAGAAUAUACAACGUCUAUUUGAAAAUUGGACAUUUCUUACUUACCUCUUCAGUUCUUAUUAUUUCAAGGGCUUCUUUUGCAAUCCACACCCUACUUCGCUUGCUAGGGUCAUUUGGACUUUCUUGAUGGACGAUUCGCCUUCCCAUGUCUAUGAGUUGAUCAUGCAUCCAGAACUUAUCAUCGUUAAAUAUCUUUAUUAAGCACCUACUGGUAAGGACAUCAAUUCCUCUUACCGGAUAAAAAUCACAAUCGGCCCACAUAUAAAUUGCAUCGGUCUUCUUCUCAUUGAAAAAGAAGCACGCUAUAUCAAGAAAAAUCUGUUGCUGAUGUUCAUUUAGGUCGUCAUAGCUAAUCCUCAACUUCUCCAGAAUCUCUUCCUCAGGUACAUUCCUUAACUUGAUCAUAGUCUCUUCCCAAAAUGCUUUGUCUUUCUUAUUAAGUAACGAACCUAUCACUUCAACAGCCAAAGGAAGCCCUCCCGUACUUGAGACAAUCUCAUUGGAAAGCGCAUGAUAAUCAUCCGAAGGAAAGGUUUUUCCAAAGGCAUGCCGACAAAAAAGCUCAAGUGUAGAAGCAUCAUCCAUCUCAAGCAUCUCAUACUGUAUAAUUUCAUCUUUAAAUUCAUGACCUUGUAAAAUAGUAUGGUUUCUCGUUGUAAUAAUUAUUCUAGAUCCUGAAUGUAAUGAAUUGUUUCCUAUUAGUCUCUUAAUAUGGUCUUUAUUAUCAGCAUUAUCUAGAACCACAAGGACCUUCUUAGUGCUAAGUACUUCUCCAAUCCUCCUCAUUCCUUGUUCAAUAUCUUGGACUCCUUCUGCAGAUCCAGAAUCAACAAUGUCAAACAAUAGUUUUUUCUGCAAUUGGACUGUGCCAUCCUCGGUCGACAUCUUUUCUCGAACAUUCUCAAGAAAACUAGAACACUUUCCAAAGUGGGAAAGUAGUUCAUUGAAGACGACUUUGGCAACGGUUGUUUUACCAAUGCCACCCAUUCCAUAAAUUCCAAUGAGCCGCACAUCGCGAUGGUUGACAUCUAAUAACUCUGUCAAGUGCUUUACUCGAUCAUCAAGUCCAACUAAAUGUUCAGGCACUAAUCUUUGUUUCGGCUUCAAUUUCUCCAAAACCCUUUUAACAACCAAUUUGACAAUCGUUGCUUGGCUGCCAUAUACAAAAGCGCUUUUAUUAGAUGACUAGAUCUACCCACGCAUCACACUUCGGAUAGUCAAAACUUUAACUUGAAUAAAUUGAAGCACAUCAACGACAAGAUCCAAGUACACCGAAUAAUUAGUAUGGGCUAAUUUAGCACGAUUCACUUGAUAUGUUUUUCAUAUGUAGGUUAUAGAAAGGUCUUAAGACUAUAGUAUUACCUUACACAGUAGCCAAAGUAACCAAGUGGUGGAUACUAUACGGUGCAUCAACAAAAAUUCGACAUUUAUAGCUAAGCCUAGAAAAACUUUCAGCACUUGUAACGGGAGAAUCAUGAAGAGAAAUGCAGCGCUACACAUUGAACAUUGUAGUUUGCUUUCUCUCCUACUGAAUAUUGAGAAAUGAUUUUGCUUCACCAAAUCUUAGUUUCCUUGGGUAAUCAUAGACAAAGCAGGGGAUAUAAAGUUGAAUGAGAGCAGCAUUGGAGGUAGUUUUCAAUACUUCCCGUUACAAAAAGAAUAAAAUAAAUCAUUUGACAGGAAACACCGUAUUUCAUACAACAAAAGGAAAAGAAGAAAUAGGUAAGGGUCUUAAGAGAGUAAUUACCUUUGAUCUUUUGUUAUGGCCCAUCCCUUGAUUUCAUCUACCUUUACAAGAGCCUCUCUCCACGCCUCAACUUUAUCGGGAAACAACUUCUUAUGUUCCAGUAAAGCAUCGCUAUAUAGUGGAGUUUUAAGCUGAACGUCCUCAGGUUUCACGUGAAAAAAAAUGGGAAGAAUACUUUUUUUACCCUUUGAUUGAGACACGUUGUCUAUUAUGUGCACAAGCUCACGAAGACACCAUUUGCUGGAAGCAUAAUAUUGAGAGAAGAUGGGUAUAUAAAUCAUAGAGUUGUUGAUAGCAUGUAGAAGGUUCCCAGCAAUCACUUCGCCGACGCUGAGUUCAUUUUCGUCCAUGAAUACGCGGACUCCCGCAUCUCUCAAACCGUGAUAGAGGAAUUCCGUGAAUCCAUAACGAGUGUCGAGUCCUCUGAAAUUCAGGAACACUUGAUACUCGCCCCCUGAUGCUCGCGCAGCAUCACUACUCGAUCGAGCCCCCGAGUUCGCCAUUGCUAGGAAGCUGAUUACUCCCCUGUAGAGAAAAGAAGCUGGCGUGGAGUGGCCUAGCUUAAGAAAUGAGCGGAGGCUUUCGAGGCAAGUGAUAAAAAAGUAGACACCAGUGAAGGUGCGCAGGACUUUUAACAAAGUUUCGAAAUUUAAAAAAUAUUCUUUGGUUCAUAAGCGCCACGUUAACUGCUGAUGAGGCGUAUGCUUAUUUACUGAUACCGAAUUAAAUUUUGACACGUGGAUGUUGACAUGGAAAUUUAACAAAUUUUUUUUUUUUUUGUCUUUUCCCCUCCAUCUUCGACCUCCACUCCGCCUGGGCUCGACCAUCUCCAUCGCCCAAGCCGCCGCCGCCGCCACCGUCCUUGAACCGCCGCCCCACCGUUGCCGCCACGGUCUGCGGCAAAGCUGUUGAGCUCGUCGCUGGUAGCCAUGGACGAGCCAAGACUCGAGCUCAAAGCUGUUGAGCAGCAAACCAGAUCUAGAGAUGUAGAGGAGCGUUGCAGCAAACCAGAUCUGGAGAUGCAGAGGAGCCGUCGGCCAUGGGCGGCUUCUCGCUCUGCGGCAAAGCUGCUGAGCUCGUUGCCAGUAGCCAUGGACGAGCCAAGACUGGAGCUCAAAGCUUUUGAGCAGCAAACCAGAUCUACAGAUGCAGAGGACCGUUGCAGCAAACCAGAUUUGGAGAUGCAGAGGAGCGGUCGGCCAUGGACGGCUUCUCGGUCUGCAGCAAAGUUGUUGAGCUCUUCGCCGGCAGCCAUGGACGAGCCAAGAUCUGGAGCUGGAGUUGUAGAGGAGCGUUGCAGCAAACCAGAUCUGGAGAUAAUCUCCGCGUCCACCCUCUCCGUCGUUAGUCAUUCUGAGCGGCGNNNNNNNNNNNNNNNNNNNNNNNNNNNNNNNNNNNNNNNNNNNNNNNNNNNNNNNNNNNNNNNNNNNNNNNNNNNNNNNNNNNNNNNNNNNNNNNNNNNNCUGCUACAAUACGGUCCAUCCGGAUUCGAGGCCAUCAUUAAGGGAUCUUUAAUUUAUUUUUUUAAUGACACGUGUCAAUUUUUAAUUGGUUAGUAAUCCAUUAACUCGUGCCAGGUCAGCUGUUGACGUGGCACUUACGAACCACUGAAUAUUUUCUGCAUUGGCAGACUAUAAAAAAUCCUUUUCUUUUCCCCUUAAUUAAAGCAUCCAAUCCCCAAACUGCGGAGGAAUCUCCAAUCAUGCCCAUAACCAUUUCUGGUUCGAACAAAAAAAGAAGAAGUAUAUUAUUUAGGAACUUAAUAGAACGAUCAUUUUACUAAAAAUUUAUGGGGCAAUUAUAAUGUAUAAAAAAAUUGUUUUCAAAUUAAAAUAAAAAUAAAAAUCUGUAAAAAAAAAGUAAUCUAAAAAAUUUGUUUCUAGACGUUUUUUCUUUCAGAAAUAAACUUCAAAUAAACAGCGCGCCUAUAGUUUAGCACUUUAAGCCACUUACAAAUUGCAUAUAUAUAUAUAUAUAUAUAUAUAUAUAUAUAUAUAUAUAUAUAUAUAUAUAUAUAUUUGGAUGUUGAAUAAUUUAGAAAAAAAUUAGGCCAAGUUACCUGCGGCCAACUUCGAGCCCAACCUCGGAGCCUACUUCCGGCGUCGUCGCCGGCAGAGUUGUCCGCGCUGCGUCUAGGCUGACGCCGCUGCGUGUCCAGGCUGAGCCGUCCCUCCGUGUCCAAGACAGAACGCUUCAGAUCUGUGGACGAGAAGAAGAGGAACGAGCUGUCAUCGCAAGUGACGAGCCGUUCACAGAUCUGAGCGCUCUGAUCCUCGCUAGUAACGACGGCAGCGGCUUGUUACUCACGCCGACGUCCGAGCGGUGGGCGUGGAGGUUGGAGCUCAGAUCUGUGGAGGAGAGGCCGUCCGUGGCUGACCACCGCUUUGCAUCUCUAGGUCUGUGGACUAGCAGCUCUAUCGGCCAAGGCACAGCCGCUGGGACGACCAGAUCUGGAUUCUGUUGCCGGCCGAAGUUGUGGGCGGAGCGAGAGAGUCGAAAACGCUACGGAUGCCCUAAUUUAAAGAUGUUAAGUAGAUGCUUCUUCACACGCUACGGAUCCUUUUCAUAUGCUAAAUAUCCUAAUUUAAAAAUAUUAAGUAGUGUUAAAACUUUUUUUUCGCUCACUUGAGUAUCACAAAUUUGAAAAAUUGAUCAUUUAAGUGUCAUUUUCAAUUUGCCUCGUCGAAAACGCUAAUGUGACUGCUGGAAAAUAUUUUAAAUAAUUUUUUUAAAUAUAUUUUUUGAAUUUUAUUUUUUUUUUUAUUUUGUCUUUUUUUUAUUUUUAUUUUUUAGGGUUUGCGAGAGUUACUAGUGAUCCUCACUGAUUGCAGUUGCCUUUGCCCUUGGCCAUGAAGGCCCUCGGCGAAGCCAUCACUUUGGGCGACAUGCAGCUUUAGGUAGUCGUGAGCCAUGUCACGAGGGUCGUUGCGGCCUCACCUAGAGCCUUCGCAGCAAGGGUGAGAUGGUCUUUGCCCAAAUCUGACUGCGAAGACCCUGGGCAAGGCCAUUAGGGCCUCUCUGACCGCUAGCGAGGCUGCAACAACCCUUACCUGCCCUAGGUGUUGUUGCCUGUGUUUGGCAAGGGCCCUUGUAGUGUCACCCAAGGCCUUCAUGGCAAAAGGCGAGGUGGCCAUAGCUAGCGAGGGUCGCCGGUUACCCUCAUCGGCCCUAAAGAAAAAAAAAACUAAAAAAAAAAAGCAAAAUACAAAUAAAACUAAAAAAUUUAAAAAAAAAUCCACGCAGGACAUUUGACUAGAAUUAACAUUCAAGUGAUCAUUUUUUCUCUGAUGUGGUACUUAAGUGAGUGAAAAAGAAGAAGAAGAUUUUGACACUCAAGUGAGCACCGUACGAAUGUUUUGGCACUACUGUUCUUUUGCCCUUAUUUUUGCAUUCUAGGACGAGAGAGGUUGUUGUCGCAUCUUUGCAGGAGGGGACUGGAUCUUUGAAUUUUCUGAAGGAAACCAUCAAUGAGGUGGGGGAUGGGGGACGAAGAUGGAGCGUGUAGUUUGCCUUGCAAAUUGCAAUGACUUUAUCUUGAAUGGACCUAGUUGUGAAAUUGAUUUGAUUGAGUGAGAUGGAAUAGGAUUAAGAUAGGAUGGUGUGCAUUUUCCAAUCGAAAUGUUAAGGAUAUUGAAUUUGACAUGUCAAAAACAAAAUUACUAAAAUAUGUGACUAAUCGUAAGUAGAUGAAUAGGGAAGUGGAUUAUGUUCAAAUUUAUCCAACUAGUUUGAGGUAUUAUUUUGUGAAUUGAUAACGAGCAUACAUAAUUUAGAAUUGAUAGCUUUGUAUUUCUAAAGUACCUAUAAAAUAAUGAAAAAACACUAUUGAAUACCAACCGAAUGAGUGAUAUGUAUCAUGUUAUGAUAUCUUCCAGAAUAUGAUAUAGUUAUUCUAACAUAUAGUAAUUGCUCAAGAUAGUAUUGUGACUAGAACAUACAUCUUGAAAGAGAACAAUAUUUGGCGCUUUGGACGGUAGACUAAAGAGAAAUUGAUUUCUAGAAGUGUUCCCAUCGAGUCAUUCAAUUUCAAAUUAAUAACCUAUCUUUGAUGAAAUCGAGAGGAGGGAUGAACUUCACUCAGCAAGUGAUAAUUUACCAAAAUACCACUCGACACAAACACACAAAAGAAAUAUCACUAUGUAAAUUCAAUGCUAACCUCUCCGUGAGUCGAAGUUGGCUAUUACACCAUGCCAUGGUUCUUAAAAUUGGCUAUUUUGGAGCCGGCAUGCUAUGCUCUACAGGUCGACAGCAUGGUCUAUCAUGAGUAUUUCGAGUGGGCACCAUGGAUAGUCAUGCUUUUCAAUUUGCAUCGGUAAUAUAGGGGGGAAAACAAGAAGAUGCAACAUGGGCGCUGACUGUUGAUAAAAAUGGGAACUUCUGCUCGUUGUACGUUGUGCAUUGGACCGAAGACCUAUUCAUGUGGACGGGCUAAUUGAAGUACCUGGGUUCUUAACUGGUAGUCCAACAAGAUUGGGCUUUCCCUAGUAAAGCAGCUCUUUAAGCCCAUGUAGCACAGAAGAUGCUUGGCUUCAAACAUGGACUUUCUUUCAGCUUGUCCCCCUUUACUUUCAAUAUAAGCAAUAAAAGAUCUCUAUCAUCCCCAAAAUAAAGGGAUAGAAAUGUCUGUAAUUAAAUGGUUUUACUUCCCAGACUUCAAUGAUCUCUGCUCAUAUAUUUUAGUUUCUCCUGGUGAGAUAAUCCCUGGAUCAAAUUUCUAUAAAAGUUUCUUUUUCUUUCUUUGGAUGAAAGAACAAGUUUACAUAAGUCGAUAGCAUAACAUAAUAUGAAGAUGAGUAACGCUGCAUAAAACCGUAAGUACUAUGAUGGACAGCCUGCUGAAAAACAUUGAAAAGCAUAAUCUCUAGCUUCUCCUGAAAGCUUCUUGAGCAAGAGGAGAGGAUCGAGACGAGUGAAGAAUGCAACCGUCUAAUUAUAGGCAAAAUUAAGAGUACACAAAUGCAUUUCUCAUGAAUUUCGUGGAUUUAUUUGGUCUAUUGCAGAAGUAGUUCGCCUUUAGGCAAAACCGAAUGCAAUCAGGUUCAAAACUACUUUUAGAUGGAGACCCAUGCGUUUCUCCAAAUUUAAUUUCUGUUUGAUGUUUCCUUUUUAUUUUACAUAUUUUCGUUCUUUUCUAGAUUUUCACUUUUUACUAUUUUGAAAACAAACUUUUAUAUUAUAUUUAUCACAUAAGAUGCCAUGUCAAUCUUAAUAGACACGUCUAUAUCUAUAUUUAAUGGAAGGACCAACUCGAAUAAAAGAAAUACUUCGGGGAUUUAAUUAUAUAGGAAAUGUUGAUAAAUCUGAUUGAACAUUUUGCAAUAAUUCAGUAACUUUCAAUACUUUAUUCCUUUUUUUUUUUUUUUUUUUGUGUGCAUAUGAUGGGGCUUGUCAAUUAACUCACACAAGGUCAAUAGCCCGUGCAUCGCAUGGAAUUGUCGACAACUAUUUUGGGCAUGACAUUUUUGAAAGCUUUGAAGCUCUAAUUACUACUUGUAAACACUACUCAUUGUUGCAAGGAAGACGUUUCGCAUUAAAACAUUUUUUACGCACUGAAAUGAUAGAAAAGCUACCCAUGAGAUCCUUAGUAACAGUGCAGUAGUAGCUACACAUUUUCUGUAUUCAUCCAGCUAACAAAUUAUGACAAGCAAAAUAUCAACAAGGAACCCGAUUCAAACUAGUCCUAAAAUUGCUCCUUUACAAUCUUGAGUUAGAACAACUCCUGUGGAUGUUUUCGUUCGUGAUCCUCUAACGAUGCUGCAACCUUGAAAUCAUAGUAACGUGCUUCUGCCUCGCAUUUGCAACAGAAAUUAUCCAAACAUAGUUUCAUAAGCACAUGUUGGUUUUGAGACUCACCAAAAGAAAAAUGGAAGAACAUUCGAGGAAACUUGAGCUUUGACAAUUUCGUCUUGAGUCUCCUCUUCUUGAAGUUGAAGCUCCAACCCUUCCUGAACUUGAAGCAGGUCCCCUUCCAGAACUCAAAGCCUUUUCAUUUCUUGAACUUGAAGCUGUGCCCAUUCCUGGACAAAAACCCAGUGCCAUCUUGUGAAGUUGAACCUCUACCGCUUUUUGAACUCAAACCCGUGCCCUUUCCUGGACGGAAAGUUGUGCCCUUUCCCGAACGUGAGCCUCUAUCUCAUCCUGAACUCAAAGUCCUGUUCCUUCCUGAAUCCACGUCCGUUCUGAAAGCCAUGCUCUUUCCUUAAUUUGAAGCCAUGCCUCUUCCUGAACUCAAGGCCAUUUCUGGAACUCAAACCUCUACCCCUUCCUGAACUUGUCGCCAUGCCCUCUCCUAGACUUGAAGCUAUGCCCUUUCCUCUGCUUUCAUUACCUAGACACUUCCCUGAGCUCGAAGAACCUCUAGCUCCACCUCCUCUGCCUCUAUUUGCAGUUACUUGGUCAGUCGCGACAAUCCUAUCCAUCUCCAUCUGGACCAUACUAAUCUUCCUGUAAGUAUAUAUAUGUUUGGAGUCUAUUUGCUGGUAACAGGUAUGGAGAACUUCAUUUCAUCCCUUCAUUCUCAAUCUGACGUGAUCUGCUUUGAAAGUUUAGAGAAGACGAUGACAAUAUUCGUAUCGAGAAAAUAGUCUUUUGCUGAUUUGAAAGCUUUUCUUUGAAGCAAGGAUGACAUUGUACUCCCCAAAUUAAUAUAAGGAGCUAAUUGCCCCCAAUGGAAAAUAUAGAGAUGGCGUUCAACGUUCAAUAAAAGUUCAGGACCUAAUCGCACCAAUUAAAAAUUCAAGAAUGUUGUCAGAUAUUGGAAAAGGUUCGAAGAUUAAUAGUGUCAUUGUAUCAAGAAAAAGAAACACACAAUCAAACCCACUAGACUACAACUCCGAUUGCUUUUGCUUAUUCUCUCCUGAGGUUGGAUUCUUGUUCCACCAUGGAGUUCCCUCUCCCUCAAGUGUGGCUCAUGAUUCAACGCACUUCUGGAAUUAGUUAACACUCGCCUUAUGUGUUUANNNNNNNNNNNNNNNNNNNNNNNNNNNNNNNNNNNNNNNNNNNNNNNNNNNNNNNNNNNNNNNNNNNNNNNNNNNNNNNNNNNNNNNNNNNNNNNNNNNNGAGAAUCUUCUCUAUCUAGUUCUUCAAAGAGAUAUGAAAGAAAUUGCCUGAAUCUUUGAUAAAUUCUCUGCGCAUUCUUGUAUGUUGACGUGUCACUAAUCUGGUAUAUUUGUGAGAGAUACGUUGAUCAACCUUUCCAAUGACUCGGCACCGUCUGGCUCCCAAGGAUUCCAGGAACUCUAGUUUUUCAAGGCCCCGGCACCAGUUAAUCCAUCAAACUCUUCAGGUUCUUCGAGUUUGACAGCCCAGCUGAUCUUCCAGGAGAUGUGCAGCCACGAGCACGGAUAUAUUCUAAUGAUUCCAAAGCACCCACAGCCACGAAUGAAUAAAGUCAGACGAAUUUCUCGAAUCUCAAGUUGGAGCGGAGUGACCCUGCGGAGCGAGAACAUAUUAAACGGAGAAGACUGGGAGCUCUACAAGGGGUCGGAGGUCUAGUUUAGGCAGAGUAAGCUUUUCCACAUGCGAAAGAGAACCCAAUACUGUAGGCGGUCCAGCAACGAUAAUUGGGUUUGAUGUCUAUGCGCAAUCAGAGUCCUGCACGACCCAUAUGAAAUAUAAUAAGAACUACGUCGUACGCCAAAAGUGAAUAUAUGAAUUUCGCUUAGGCGAGCGCAACGACAAUCUCCAGGAGAAAGGACUUGAAGACGUGCCACAAAGUGUUGUGAUAUCAUGAACAGCUUGAAGAGUAAAUUUGUCCUAGAAUUUGCACCAGAUAAACCCGCAAAAGAGAGAUGAAAAACAAAAAGAAGCGUGCCCAUAUAAAAACUGAAGUACGAGUUUAUACUCUAUUGAGUUUCCGUUCAUCGGCAUGAGAAUAUACGAGCAUACAUUCUUGACAUGUCUCUCGUUUUCAUCUAUACAUUUUCGAAGUGUGACUCAACUGACCUGAUUUUGACCCUUUUAAAUUUCUAGGUCACGAAGAAUGUACCAACAGUCGGAUAGUUUUCGAGAGAGAGCAAGAUGCGUACAAUUUUUAUAAUAACAAAUGCUGCAAAAGUCGGGCUCAUUGAGAUUAAUUCAUAUAGGGCUUGUUCUUUUACGAAGUUUUCUAUGCAAAGAAUGACAAAUUUCUCCCACUAGGUCAAGCCCACCGCAAAAGAGGUCACCACUUGUAAGUUCACAAUUUGGGGUCACUAACGAAAAAACUCAGGAGAUACGUGUUAGCGUCCCCUUUAUUGGAGACAGCAGAUUGGCCAAUGGGAAUCCGUGUCCCAUAACCACUAGUUAGUUUUAAGUCUCCUAAAGAAAAAUAUAGGAAAAUUCAAGGAAAAUAGAAUUUUACCUUGACACAAUGAGUCUCCCCCCAAAAGUAAGGUUCGUAACCUUGGCGCCGCCCCCAAAGAAUGAAGAACGUGGAUAUCUACCAGACACGUCAUAUUACCUUAGAACUUCCGCUUGCUUCAGUGCUUGUUCGUGCUGACCUUAUUGUUCUUGUCAUGACCUCAGUGUCUUAGACUCAGUCUCAGCCGAGCUUGGGCCCUUAUCCGUCCCUAAACUCGUGCCCAUUUUAGCCACGCCCCCUCCGAAACUCAAAGUCGUGCUCCUUCCUGAGCUCGCGGUUGCACCCUUUUCUGAGGUUGAAUCUGUGCCCCUUCCUGUACCCAAAGUUGCGCUGCUUCGUGGACUUGAAGAACCUCUGUCCAUCCCGGAUCUCGAACUCGUGCCCAUUUUCGUUGCGCCCCUUCCUAAACUCAAAGUCGUGUCCAUUCUUGAACUCGAAGUUGGGCCCUUUCCUAAUCUGCCCCUUUCUGUACUCAUAGUUGCGCUGUUUCGUGAACUUGAAGCUAUGCCCCUUCCUGAACUUGGACUGGCGCCCUUUUCAGUUGUGCCCCUUGAACAUGAACCUCUACCUCUUUGUAAACUCAAAGCCGUGACCCUUCCUGAGCUCAAAGUUGCGCCCUUUCUUGAAGAUGUAUAUCCGCCCCUUCCAGAACUCGAAGUCACGCUACUUCGGGAACUUGAAACUAUGCCCCUUCCUGAAUUUGAUGCCACGCCCUUUCCAAAAGUAGAAGCCGUGUCCCUACCCAGCCUUGAAGCUUUGCUCUUUCUUGAAGUUGAAGUCAUACCCCUUGCUUUGCCUCUUUCUGCUUGAUCCCUUCCUGGGCUUGAAGCACAUCUGGUCCCACUUCCUCCGCUUGUUUUUGCAAUUACUUGGUCAUUCUUCACAGUUCUAUCCCUCUUCACCUGGACCAUGUUGAAAUUCCGCGUAAGUUUUUAAGGACUGCACAAUUAAUAAAAUGCAAAUCUUCAGUACUUACAGAAGAAAAAUCUCUGUGAUCCUCGACUUCAGUUGUAGCUUUGUUGGAUAUCUCAUCAUGUUCAAUUCCUUGGCAGCUCGAUCGAACAACAUUGUUCCGGUUGGCUGGUUCUCCAAGCUCCUCCUUGUACUCCUUCCUAUUUUCCACGCUCGCCAUUUUCCCUCCAUCGACACUGCCAUAAUGCGAAAUCCUUCCAUCCCUCAUUUGCCUCCUAUUUCUCGUGGCCUCAACACAUUCAGCAUCGCCCAGCUUUGACUGAGAAUCAUAAAGUGAGAAGGUGCCAUCAGUUUCGCUUUCACCCAUAGAUGCAGUGUCUGAGUUUUCAUCAGGACCAGAAACGUCCCAGUCAGCCUCAUCCUCAUCGGAAUACUCAUCAGUCCUCAUUGUCCAUUCCUCUCUUAACAUCUCCACCACCCCCGUCAUCAUAUUCUCCCUCCCACUCACUGUCAACUCCUCCCUCGACGUACAGAUGAAUCGAUCCUCUUUUAGGUGCUAGUUGCACCAUUCCCUUCAUUUGCUCAUCACUCUUAAUCUCUAUGAGCAACUCGCAGUAUUCACCCGGAGUCUUGUACCACAUUCUCUUCGAACGAAAGCCAAAAUCUUUAAUGUCGGCAAUCAAUCCUUUAUAUGUCACCCAAUUAGAGGUGUAACCUUCGCUUUCCCACAUUAUUCCACCAACAAACUCAAAAUUAGACUUCUUUACUCCAAUGUGGAAUUUGAUUGUGAAGGGAUGUUCCAUCUGUGGUGUAACAAGUUCAAUGUGAGAGCCAAACAGCAUAUCUAUUAAAUACAUAUGGAAUCUUUUUGCAUAUUUACCCUAAGUCCAAUGCGGCACAAACAUCAUUCAUUAGUUAAAGACAUCCAGGAUUAAAUAUUUAAAUGUCUAAUGGAAUAUCAGUAAUACUCAUUUGAUCUUUCUUUCAUUAACUAAGUUUGAACUUUUAAAAAGAAUGUGAUGUAAAUUUUAAUUAAACAUCAAAUAAGUUAGAUAACUAUCUACAUGGGAGUACUAUCUCAUCACAGAUUACCUUUUUUAGGGAAAGAAAAGAAAAAAAAAAUGUUAGAAUGCCAAUGCAAGUAGAACUUUUCAGUGGCGGGUUUUUUACUCUUGAUUUGAGGAUUGAAACUACUCACUUUAUACUGAAUGGAAAUAUUAGUUAAUAUUUCAAUCAAUAAUUUGUUCCUCUAUAUUCCAUAUUAACUAGACGAUCCUUUGGAAACAAGAAAUGCAUGAUUUAACAGAGUAGAAAAGUAGACUUUGAUUUAGCUAUAAUAAAAUAAUCUAGAUGUAAAGGGUUGAAUCUACAAAUCCUAAACGUAAAUACAUAAUGUCGACAAGAUCACCGCCUCUCUCUCUCUCUGGAGUUCUCCAGAACUCUCUCUCUAUUCCUCGGGUCUUUUCUCUCUCUCUCUCUCUAGACAAUUCCAAGCCAAUUUCCCUGUCAGAAGAGCAGCCGCAAUUGUUGACAAAUGGGUCAACAAGUUGCAAUAAAAUAAUAAUAAGUAGAAGAGAUAUUGGGAGAGGAGAGUCGGUGAAUGUGCCGACUUUGCCUCCUAUAAAUAGGGUUUCUUGUCCCUUGAGUGUGCGUGGAAUGUGUACGUGAGGUGUGUGGGUGUGUGUAGGGGUCUUGUGUAGUGUAAGUGUAGGGUGAUAAGAAGUAAGUGGGUGUGUGCGUGUGGUUUGUGAAGUGAGUGAGUGAGCAAGUAUAAUGAGUAGCUGUGAGAGUGUGAUAGUAUAGAGAGUUUGUAAUAUUGUUUAUAUAAAAUAAAGUAAUUAUUUUACUUGUACAUCCACUUACUUCUCAACACAUAAAACAUAACUUUAGACAACACAAAAGGUCAAUAAGAAUCACGACUUACUUUCUUUAGAUUUUUUGGAGUUAGUGUUGACAAAUACUGGAAAACACCAUUACAAAUAUGGGCAUAUUCUUAAUGAACUCCUUGCGACAACUAUUCUUGGUGUCCUGCGAUUACCAUCAUUGAUUUUGUCAAAUCUCAUGACAAAGACAAAUGAUGCUCUUGUACAUCACUAGAUGCCUAACUCCUAAAUAAUCUGAAAUGCGAGAAUCUAAAUAUUCUGUGAAGGUAAACAAGUUUUCGACAUUUUGUUUAAAGAUAUGUAAUGACCUGUGAGAAAAAUCUAGAUGUCAAUAUGCAUAAAAACAAAGCCAAGACUUUGAGAGUUCCACAAAUUGUACAGACCGGAAAGUAUUUGGGCAUUCGGUCCCGAUUGGGGAGUUCAAAGAAAUAGAUGUUCACCUAGAUGCUAACUAGAGUUAGUAUGAAACUUGAAGGGGGGAGGAAAAGUAGAUGCCAAGAGCUAGGAGGAAAUGCUUAAAGAGGCACUACCAACCUAUUCCAUAUCCAGUUCCAUUUCUCUUCCUAUUUUUAUGCAAUUAUUUUAGUGAACUUUAAUUCUUCAUCUUUUUCUUUUUUACUCCAAUUACAUUAAUCCGAUCUUUAUGAAUAGUUUUAUAUCAUUUCUACUAUCUUUUAAUGGUAAUUAUAUAUUCCAAUUAAAUACUAAUAUAGAUCCUAUUAUCUUGUUUUUCAAAACUAAAAAAGAGUUUUAUUUUCUACUUUUCGAAUGAAAAAUGCAUUAUUGUGGGGUACAUUGUUUCAAAUCAGUUUAUGAAAGCCUGCAUGUUGCUGUAUUCUUUCUUUAGCUAAAGAUAUAUGCUUUUAAAUUCAUGAGUGUUUCUUUAAAAUGUACUUUUUAGUGAAAUAAUAUGUUUACUUGUAUUAAAGUUACAUUCUGACAUAACGUGUGACUAUCUGUUCAAGCAAUAUGUGCUUUCAUUUUAGUUUGAUAUAAUCAUGUACUUCGAAAGGGCGUGAAUCUCGCGUGGGGGGCAAUUUUCUGUAGUAAUAAAACGCAUAGUCAACUAGUCAAGCCACCGACCAAAAAAAAUAAAAAUAAAAACUAGUCAAGCCCACUGUAUAUGCCUGCCCAGGCAAACAACAAAUAUGCAACGCAAAUCAUUGCUUAAUAUGCAAGUGGAAAGAUUAGCACUGCAUUGAAUUGAUUAAACAGUCUAACAGAAUUAAUAAAGAAAGAGGAAAAUCAAAGAUUCUAAUUAAUUUUACUCAAGAGGCCAAAUUCAUAGGAGAUGGAUUUUUUUUUUUCAUAUCAAACAUAUAUAACAUGAAUAAUCUGCCUCUUGCUCAUCAUAAUUUCCACUUGGGGCGAUACGUGUGAUAAUAUAAUGAGUUGUUGCUUUUCUCUUAUGCAUCUAUGAUCAGGUCAUUGGCAGUUAACGUCUCCACAACUCAUUAACACAAUAAUCGAAUCAAAUUAUCCAUAAUUAGUAUUAAUAUAUGUAUAGUAUUAAAUUUGUGCACUAAUUAUGCCUAUUGCCAAAUAAAAAAAUUAGAAGACAAAGACAUCAUAUGAUGUUUCUGUAAUCUAAAAUUUGUAAUCUAUUAUCUAAUAUCUUAUCUAUGAAAGCAAUUUUUAUGAAUUAAUACCUAAAGAACCCAAGCUAUCCAAAAGGCAAGUAGAGAUAAGUGGCUAAACUAAGGAAAAGGAUCAGCCACCGAAGAAACGCUGUGCCACAAAAAACGACAACUUUAAAAGGGCAGAUUAAAAAAUGAACAUAUGGAAGGAACACUAAUGUAUUCCAAAUUAUUUAGAGAUCAUCUCUGAUAAAUUUUAGUCGUGGAUUAAUGAAUUUAUUUUCGUCCAUGCGAAUUUCAACAUAAUAUUUAACUUUUUACAAUUUGUGUUGUUUUACGGAAGUACGGCAUCAAACUGAAAUUAGAACGAGGUUUUCAAACCCACGCAUUAAUGAUUCAUGUACAUCUACUGUCUAGUGAUGAGGAAGAUGUCGCACCUUAUCUGACUUGGAUUCAAAGGUUGAUGUAUCCAGAAGAAUCUCCUCUCUGUAAUGCUUCAAAGAGAUUGCAGAUGGGUAGUGUUGAGCAAAAUCUUUGCUAAGGCCUCUACACUCCCUUAUUAGGACGCGGCAAUUAUCUGGUAUAUUUGUGCGAGAUAUAUCAAUCAACCUUCUCAAUGAUGUGCACCCUUCGACCUCCAAGUACUCCAAAGACUCUAGCUCGUUUAGGCCCUCAAUGAUAGUAAGUAGAUUGCACCACUGGAUUUCCAAAUUCGCCAGGUUCUUCAAGUAUGAUAACCCAUAUAUUUUUCUCAGAGAUUUGCACUCAAACACGAGGAAGGAUACCAAUGAUUUUGAAAGAUCCAUAAAUUGUAUCUCAACUAGCUCUGGACAUAAAAGCACCCACGCUUGUCGUAGCUUCCUUAAUUGCAAAGGAAUGAAUAAAAUCUGAAGCAGCUCACAACCCAUAACAGUUAAGUUCUCCAAUUGUGGAAGCCCAUCAAGUGGAAUGUAAUCCACUUCAACAUAACAGAGCUCUAAAGUUGACAAAUUUCUCAAUCUCAAGUAGGAAAGAGGUAAUUUUGCCCAUCUGAUGCUUAAGAAUUUUAAAUUCAAUGUUAGCGGAGAGGCUUGAAGCUGCCCAAGGGUUUCCAAGUCUAGGUGAGACAAAGUAAGCUUUUCCAGAUGAGAAAGAGAAGCCAAAUCUAGAGGAACGGGGACGUUUAACAGAUUUAGAUCUAACUUUUUCAAUCUAGAUAAUGUCCAAAUCCAACAUAAGUUACAUUCAGUGAUUAGGUUUGAUUUGCUUGUAUUACAAGAGCCAUCACUCAGUAGCAAUUUAACCAAAUUAGUAAGGUUUGACAAAUUAGGGACUAGGAGCAAUGAUUUAGAUCGAAGAAGUAGACAGGUCAACCUUGGGGGAAGCUCUGGCAAUCUUUGAAUUACAUGACAAUCUCGUAAGUUUAGUUUUCGGAGGUGAUGAAGCAUGCCAAUUGUCCUUGGAAUUCUGCAAAUACAAGUGUGCUCUAAAUUUAGGAUUCUUAAAGAUGACAACUUUCCAAUUCCAAUAGGAAUUUCACCUUUCAUUUCAUUACGCCUAGAGAGAUCCAACACUUCAAGAUUUUCCAACAUGUUGACGCCAUUAGGUAACUGCCAAACAUGAUGCUCUAGAGAAGAUGAUCCGUUCUUUGAGAAACGCAAUGUGCGUAAUAAUGUUAACUUUUCAAUAGACUUGGGAAGUUCCCUUAUGUUCGUAUUUGAUAGGUCUAACUCUAUCAAUGAGGUUAAAUUCCCAAGUGAGCUUGGAAGCUCUCUCAACUCAGAACAUCCCCGCAAUGUGCGUAAUGAUGUUAACUUUCCAAAAGAGUUGGGAAGUUCCCUUACCUUCGUAUCUGAUAGGUCUAACUCUAUCAAUGAGGUUAAAUUCCCAAGUGAGCUUGGAAGCUCUCUCAACCCAUAACAUCCCCGCAAUGAGAGGCACUUAAGCUUCGCUAGUGCCCCCACAUCUUUGGGCAAAUCUGUAAGGUCACCGCAAUUAUUAAUCUCUAACUCAAUCAAUGACUGUAGAUCUCCAAUGGAGCUUUCAAUUCUCUUUAGCCCAUAGCAGUAUGCAAGACUUAACCUCUCUAAACCCAAGUAUUUAGAGAAGUCCGGGAUAGUUGUUAUGUCACUGCAAUUAAUAAGAGAUAGAACUUUCAAAUUAUCUGCUCUCUGCAAAAAUGAAUGGCUUGUCAAGUGUAAGAACUAUUGCACAAUACAAAAUAGGACUAUUAGACUAGAAUUAAAACAUGUGAUUUACCUUGAUCAAGUCCCAUGCUUUCGUAUUAUCCAUGAAGACAGUCCAAUGAAGUUGAAAAACAACAAGAUGAUCCAAAUACAUAUUGUCUGCCUUGAAAUCCCCAAAAGGCUGCCAAGAAAUCCAUCUCAACUUUGAACAACACUUUGCAAAGUCCCCAACAAAAGUUCCAUUGUAUAACUUGAGGAAUCUUAGGUUUGGUAACUUCUCAAGCUCUUCAUUUGUGAUUUCUAUGAUGCUAGCCCAUUGAUUUAUCUCAAGCGCUUGAAUCUUGUCCUUUCUCUACAAGUGAAUUUUGUAAUGGUGUUAAGAAGUUUGGCAACUUACAACAUGUUUUACAAUUUGAAAGGACAAGGGAAAAAUGAUAUACUACUUCUAUUUGAAAAUCAUAUGCUUCUUUCUUACCUCUUCAGUUCUUAUUAUUUCAAGGGCCUCUUCAGCAAUCCACAGCCUGCUCCGCUUGCUAAGGUCACUUGGACUUUCUUGACGGACAAUUUGCCUUCCCAAGUCAAUAAGUUGAUUAUGCAUCCAGAAUUUAUCGUUGUCCAACAUCUUUAUCAAGCACCUACUGGUAAGGACAUCAAUUCCUCUUUCAGGAAAAAAUUGGCAAUCAGCCCACAUGUAAAUUGCUUUGGUCUUCUUCUCAUUGGAAAAGAAGCAUGCUAUAUCGAGAAAAAUUUGUUGCUGAUAUUCAUCUAGAUCAUCAUAACUAAUCCUCAACUUCUUUAGAAUCUCUUCCUCAGAUAUAUUCCUCAACUUGACCAAUGUCUCUUUCCAAAAUACUUUAUUUUUCUGAUUAAGUAAUGAACCUAUCACUUCUAUGGCCAAAGGAAGUCCUCCUGUACGAGAGACAAUUUCACUUGAAAGCCCCUGAUAAUCAUCCAAAGGAAAGUCUCUACAAAAGGCAUGCCGACAAAAAAGCUGAAGUGCAAUAGCAUCAUCCAUCUUAGGCAUCUCAUACCCUCUAAUCUUUUCUUUAAAUCCAUCAUAUUGCAGAAUAGUUGUGUUUCUUGUUGUAAUGAUUAUCCUAGAUCCUGAAUAUAGUGACUUACUUCCCAUAAGUUUCUUAAUGUGCUCUUUAUUAUCAACAUCAUCUAGAACCACAAGGACCUUUUUAGUGCUGAGUGUUUCUCCAAUCCUCCUCAUUCCUUGCUCACUAUCCUUGACUCCUUCUGCAAAUUCAGAAUUAACAAUGUCAGACAAUAAUUUUUUCUGCAAUUGGAGUAUGCCAUCCUUGGUCAACAUGCUUUCUCGAACAUCCUCAAGGAAACUACAACACUUUCCAAAGUGGGAAGACAGUUCAUUGAACACAACUUUGGCAAUAGUUGUUUUACCAAUACCACACAUCCCAUAAAUUCCAAGGAGCCGCACAUCACGAUGGUUGACAUUUAAUAACUCUGUCAAGCGCUUGACCCGAUCAUCAAGUCCCACUACAUGUUCAGUCACUGAUUUUUGUUUUAGCUCUAGUUUCUCCAAAACCUUUUUGACAACCAAUUUGAUAAUUGUUGCUUGGCUGCAGUGUGCAAAAGCACUUUUAUUAAUUGACUAGAUUAAUCGCAUACCCACGCAUCCCACAUUGGAUUGUCAAAAUUUAACUUGAAUAGAUUGAAGUACAUCACAAACGAGAUCUCGGUAUAAUGAAUAAUUAGAACAAACUAAUUUAGUAGAAUUCACUUGAUAUGUUUUUCAUAUGUAAUUAAAGAUAUGUCUGAAGACUAUAGUAUUGGCUUACAUGAUAGCCAAAGUUACCCAAGUGGCUACUAUCGGCCUGUAUGGUAACGUUUCUAUUUCUCCCGAUUUAUGUUCUUUUGUUCCCUGGAACAAAAAAGGAACAUAAAUCUAUUUGGUAACGCCAACUUAUUUUUCUAUUUCCCCGAAAUAGAAAAGUGGUUGGGGAAUAGAUUUGAAAAAGAAAUAAAAAACAAAAAAAAGUAGUUUUUUUGUUUUCGAGAAUAAUUUCUAGAUAUAAGUCCUUUUUUUUUUUUCUUUUGUUCUUUUUCCUUGUUGUGGCCACCACCAGCCGCCUACCAACCACCUUCGGCCGACCGCCGACAGGCGACCGUCGCCACCACCGUCGGCAACUGCCGCCACCUCCCGACCGCCAACUAUGGUCGUCGCCGCCCACAACCCACCAGCUACCUCCCACAGCCCAUCAGUCGACAACCACCACCGACCGCCGUCAGCGUCGCCCGACUACCGGUAGCUUGCCACAGUUGCCGCUCGUCGCCGCACGACCACCACCCACCACCGCAAGACCGCCGCCCACAGCCCACCUACCGUCGUUGGCAGAUGGGCGACUGUGGGAGGGGGCGACGGCAGGUGGGCUAUGGGCGGCGAUCCUGCGAUGGCGGUCGGCGGCGACGGUCGGCGGUCUUGCGGCAGCAGGUAGCGGUCAUGUGGCAACGAACGGCACUCAGCGGUAUGUGAGCAAGGAAAAAAAACUAAUAAAUACAAAAAAUUAUAAAUUAUACCAAACACAUUUAUAUUCCUUUUUUAUUCCAAGCAUAUAAAUUUUGUAUAGUUACCAAACACCUUAUUUUACUUAGAAAUUAUUCCCCAGAAUAGAAACGUUGCCAUACACACCCUAUAUCAUGUAUAACAAAAUUUCGGCAUUUAUAGCGAAGCCUAGGAAUAAAUUCAGCACUCAUACUAGGAGAAUCAUGGACCUAGAUGAUGUAGACAAAUGUAGUGUUGUACAUUGAACACUGCAGUUGGCUCUCGCUUCUAUUGAAUAUUGAGACAUUGAUUUUUCUUCACUGAUUCUUAGUUUCCUUUUGUAAUCUUAGACAAAGCAGAGGAUGGGAAGUUGGAAUGAGAGCAAUUUCUAGGGGUAAUUUUUAAUACUUUUCGUGACAAAAAGAAUAAAGGAAAUCAUUUGACAAGGCAAUGUUGUACAUCUUACACACACAAAAAAGAAGAAAUAGAAAGGGAUCUUAAAAUAGUAUUACCUUUGGUCCUUUUUAACGUUCCAUCCCUUAAUUUCAUCUACCUCAGCAAGAGCUUUUCUCCAUGCCUUGACUUCUACGGGAAACUUCUUCUGAUGUUCCCCUAAAGCAGCGCUAUAUUGUGGAGUCUUAAGCUUAACAUCUUCAGGUUCUACAUCGAGAAAAAUGGGAAGGAUACUUUUUUUACCCUCUGAUUGAGACACAUUGUCUAUUAUGUGCGCAAGCUCACGGAGACACCAUUUACUGGAAGCAUAAUUCUGAGAGAAAAUUGAUAUAUAAAUCAUAGAGUUGUUAAUAGCACGUAGAAGGUUCCCUUCAAUCACUUCGCCGACGCUGAGUUCAGUUUCGUCCAUGAAUACGUGGACUCCCGCAUCUACCAAGCCAUGGUAGAGGAAAUCCGUGAACACAUAACGAGUGUCGGAUCCCCUGAAAUUCAGGAACACUUGAUACUCGCCUCCUGAUGUUCGUGCAGCAUCACUACUCGAUCCAGCCUCCGAGUUCGCCAUAGCUAGGAAGCUUGUUACUUCCGGAUCUCUCUCUCCCCUGUAGAGAAAAUAAGUCGAUGUGACGUGGCCUAGCUUAAGAAAUGAGCGGAGGCUUUCGAGGCAAGUGAUAAAAAGGUUGACACCAGUGGGAGACCAGAAAGGGCACCGAUAAAAAAUCCCUUUUCUUUCGCCCUUAAUAAAAACAUCCAAUCCCCAAACUGCCGAGAAAUCUUCAAUCAUGCCUGUAACCUUUUUUGGUUCGAACAGAAAGAGAGAGAGAGAGAGAGAGUAAAAUUUAGGAACUUAAUAGAACGAUCAAUUUUUUAAAAAAUUACGGGGUAAUUAUAAUGUAUAAAAAAUUGUUUUCGAGUUUAAAAAAAAAUAGAAAUCUGGAGAAAAAAACAGUAAUCUAAAAAAUUUGCCAACCUCGGAGCCUACUUCCGGCGUCGCCGCCAGCAGAGUUGUCCGCGCCGCGUCUAGGCUGACACCGCUGCGUGUCCCGGCCGAGCCGCCCCUCCGCGUCCAAGACGGAACGCUUCAGAUCUGUGGACGAGAAGAAGAGGAACGAGCUGUCAUCGCAAGUGACGAGCCGUUCACAGAUCUGAGCGCUCAGAUCGUCGCUAGCAACGGCGGCGGCGGCUUGUUACUCGCGCCGACUUCCGAGGGGUGGGCGCGGAGGUUGGAGCUCAGAUCGGCGGAGGAGAGGCCGUCCGUGGCUGACCACCGCUUUGCGUCUCUAGGUCUGUGGACUAGCAGCUCUAUCGGCCAAGGCACAGCCGCCGGGACGACGGAGGGGUGGGCGCAGCAGUCCGCCGUCGCUCAACAGCCAGACCUGGAUUCUAUUGCCGGGCGAAGUGGUGGGCGAAGAGAGCGAGAGAGAGA
This 52246-nucleotide long non-coding RNA is filed under the name Eucalyptus grandis. RNAcentral describes it as "long non-coding RNA (EGRA_LNC001873)". Lineage: Eukaryota; Viridiplantae; Streptophyta; Magnoliopsida; Myrtales; Myrtaceae. The record is from RNAcentral.